RNAcentral lists this long non-coding RNA (57865 nucleotides) under Prunus persica (peach). RNAcentral describes it as "long non-coding RNA (PPER_LNC005074)". Lineage: Eukaryota; Viridiplantae; Streptophyta; Magnoliopsida; Rosales; Rosaceae. The record is from RNAcentral.
UCUGCUAUACUAUUUGAUCGUGGUGUUGAUGAGAACCCACCAAUAAUUGCCUUUACUUUACCGCAAAUUUACUUUUACUUAAAGUAAUAUAAUAUAUUAUAUUUACUGUAUGGUGUAGGUUUAUUACCCAUACAACAGUAUUUAUUUAAAAGGGUGGUGCGGGUUUAUCGUCCACGCCUUUACUUUUAUUUAAAUGUAUGGAGCAGAAUUAGUGCCCAUACAAGCACAAUUUACUUUACCGCACAUUUAAUUUUAUUUAAGGUAUGGUGCGGGAUUAACGUCCAUACAACAAGCAGUUUAAUUUAUGAAUUUACUUUAUCGCACAUUUAUUUUAUUUACUGUAUGGUGUAGGUUUAUUAUCCAUACAACAGUAUUUAUUUAAAAGGGUGGUGCGGGUUUAUCGUCCACACCUUUACUUUUAUUUAAAUGUAUGGAGCAGAAUUAGUGCCCAUACAAGCGCAUUUACUUUACCGCACAUUUAAUUCCAUUUAAGGUAUGGUGCGGGAUUAACGUCCAUACAGCAAGCAAUUUAAUUUAUGAAUUUACUUUAUCGCACAUUUAUUUUAUUUACUGUAUGGUGUAGGUUUAUUAUCCAUACAACAGUAUUUAUUUAAAAGGGUGGUUUACCGCACAUUUACAUUUAUUUAAAGUAUGGUGCGGGUUUAUCGUCCAUACCAGUAAUUUAUUUACCAGUAAUUUAUUUUAUGGAUUAAUUGUGCUGUAUGAUGAGUUUUUACAGUAUGCAGAUCAGGACCAGAAGUUCCUUGAUCCUCAUCACACAAUUACAUCAGGACUUGAAGAUCCUUGAUGAUGAUGUUAAUAUGAGAGCUGGCAGUCUCUCCGGUACUAUAUUUGUAAACAUGUGAUUGGACUUGAGGGUCCUUGAUCCUUGACAUGUAAAUAAGGACCUGGGGUUCCUUAAUGAUGUAAUAGUACCGUAUUGGUUCAUAAUGCCGUACACAUGGAUGAUAACUGUACUGGUAAAUGUACUGUACACAUGAAUAGUGCCGUAUACAUGAAUAGUGAUGUAUGCAUAAAUAUUUACCAUUUUGGGUAAACUAUCACCAUUCAAAAGGGAACCUGCAAUUCCUUAAACUCAUGGAUGAGCAAUUAAAUGAGAUGCCAGAAGUUCCUCAAGAUAUGGACAAUUAUGUAAGGAUUUGAAGUCCAGAAAUAUGUACAGAAAAUUGUAAAAAUGUCCAUACCAUGAGAAUAUGUGAUUUUGGCCUGAAGUUCAAAAUCUAAGGGGAUUGAAUGUCCAUACCAUGAGAAUAUGUGAUUUUGGCCUGAAGUUCAAAAUCUAACAGUGUUGAGAACCUGAAGUUCCAACAAUUAAAUGGACAACCCUUGAGGUAUUAUUGCAAAUUGUGGUACGCCACAUAUUUCUUUGGCAUAAGAGAAUGAUGAAUUUAAUAAAGUUCGAUUCUGUUAUAAUCGACACCUCAAGGAAGAAAUAUAUUUUGUGAAUUCCGAUUGUUAAGAAUACACCGUGAAAUGGAUAAUAUCAAUAUAAACCUCAAAUGAUGAAUUGAGGCUCCCCACACAUUUUGAUAUAUCUAUGAGAAAUCCCGAAUUUGAGAUUGUGAGUAUAUAGUAGUUAAUGCUCUUCACUACUAUAUUACGAUAUUAUCGUAGCUUUUACUCAAUUCAUAUUUCAUGUCCAUUUAAUAGGGGCAAAUAAAUUCUGAGUUUGUGUUUAGCCAGGCCAAAAGUUCCGGGCUCCCAUACGUUGAAAUAUGAAAUUUGGGAGAGUCGAUGUGGUUAUUUGAACCUAUAAGGCACAAGGUUUCAAACCGUCAUUUUGAAAAGACGUAAAAACCACAGGUGCAAGUUUAAGAAUGUGCGCAAUUAUUAUAACAGGAACAUACAACAGAUAGAUUUUUUCCACCUGCAAUGAAGGUGCAGGCCCUGUAAAAUCUAUAAAAUUACAUUAUGUUCUAGAAGCCUCUGAAGGAAGUUGAGUUGAAACACAGUUGCUCCAAUCAAGUUUUGCAAAGGCAAUAUCUAUAGGAGGAAAUAUGGCUACAGUUUUUCAGGAUCCCAAUAUCUUUUCGGAUCCCCAUAUUAUCUUUUUCUUUCCCAGAUUCCAAAACUUCACGUGGCCUCCAUUAAUGUUUGUCGGCACUUUCGGCGUUUUCAAAGUAUUAUUUUCAUCAAAAGCCGAUCUUGCUUUACGGAUUUCAUGGAGCUACUUUUUCAAAAGUACCCCGAGAAUCUCGCAAUUUUCCUAUGGUUAAUUUGAAAUUCACCGGUUCUACCUAUUCAUUGUAUUUGUGUAUAAAUGUGUUACUAACGAAAUUUUCUUUGCAGAAGACAUCCAGUUUUCUCCAUACCUAGUGAUGCGAUAUCUACUUGUUUUUCUUAUCAGUGAGCACUUAAUAUGCCUGAGAAGCAAGACUAUCUCUGAUCAUCCAUUCAGGAAGCGAGACUAUCCCUGAUCACGUUUCCGCUACAUCAGGAAACUGUGAAGGCGAUCUUAUGCUCUAAUCUCCGGAAGUCCUUCUAGACUAGGAGAUAUGAGAGCUUAUUGUCUGCUCCCACCAGCUUCCUUCCCUGAUUGCUUACCUUCUCUUUUUGCAUUUUUUCUCUUUCUGUAACUCUCUGAGGAUUAUUUGUUUUUGACAGAGAAAAGAGUUAUGAUUUUACCAUUGCAGGAUAUAACUAGAUCAUCAAGCGCUACAUUUACUGGGUCGAUACAAGCUUGAAUGAUACUUGAGAAAAGUUUCUCCCACCUAAGGAUGUAAGCAAUACUUGUGUUAUUUUUUGCUUAUAUACUUAUUUGAUAUUUUAUCUUGAAAGGUAACCAAAUGGGAAGAUAAGUCCGUUCCAAAAGAAUGGCUUGUAUGUAUCCAUGAAUUAUUAAUGCAAAUUUUACAGAUUGCAAGUUGGAUACAUUGAUAAUACACUGCACAGAUUAAUGUACCAUAAGAACCGAAUAUGGGUAUAGCAGUGAUCAAUAUGAUGCACGCCUGUUGCGUAGCAAAUGAUAUGGAUUGAAGUCCCGAAAGGACAAUCCUUUGACAUGUCAAUAUUGAUAUUAUGCAUGCCUAAUGCGUAGCAAAUUAUAUGGGUUAAAGUCCCAUAAUAUGGGUUAAAGUCCCAGAAAUUAAUUGACAUGUAUGUAUUAAUCUGUGGCAUGCCUGCAGCAUGACAGAUAUAUGGGUGCACGCCUGUUGCGUAGCAAAUGAUAUGGAUUGAAGUCCCGAAAGGACAAUCCUUUGACAUGUCAAUAUUGAUAUUAUGCACGCCUAAUGCGUAGCAAAUUAUAUGGGUUAAAGUCCCAGAAAUUAAUUGACAUGUAUGUAUUAAUUUGUGGCAUGCCUGCAGCAUGACAGAUAUAUGGGUUCUAAAUAUUCCAACUCUCUAAAUAGAGAUUAUCCACGCCCUACUGUAAAAUAACGUUCCAUUGGAGGUUAUAAUCCACAUUCUCACAUAAUAAAAGCCCCAUGAAGUGGCUUGGGUACCCAAAAGCAAAAGAAAUGCUUAUAAUUGAUGCAUGCGCAUGCACAUGAGAAUUGUGAGAUUAUGAAUUGAUGAAUGACAAUUUUUGGUUUUGGAGUAGCUACUCAAAUCAUCAUUGGCCAAAAUGGAACGAGGUAAUUCCAUUAUAAAUGAGAAUGAACGUGAAAGAACAAACCCACAAUACGAACCCCAAAAUUUGUUAAUACUGAAUUUAUACUUGGGUGUUCGGAAUAAAAGGGAAUAUACCUACUUUGUAUGACACACUGUUUCUGGCAGAAACAAAGAAUGUUGAGUUUUCUCCAUAUUUACAGAUUCAAUUGUGCCCCCCCUUAUUACACAAUUACGGAGACCAACAUAUUAUCUUUAAGGGUUAUUAAAUGCACAGAGCAUAUCGCCAGAAGCGAUUCCCUAAAGAUGUAUAAAUAGCUGGGUUAAAGCUAUAUAAUGUGUCAUAAAGUUUAAUCCCUUUUAGACAAAAUCCGUUGAGAGGAUUGACAUUGCAUAAAGCAAGUCCCUAAAGGACAUGUGCUUGAAGCACAAAAUUUGUACUCAAUAUUAAUAUGCAUAAAUUACCUCAGUGAGUACAUUGAUUAUAAUGUGAUUGCAACACAUUAAAGCUUCUGCAGAAUUCACGAAAUAUUUGUUUCGACUUAAGGAUCGAGCAUUAUGCCAACGAGAUUCUUGCUUAUACUAAGAAAGUAUUGAAGCAUUUUUAUGAGGAUUAUCCGUUGGACACUUUAAUGAUUUUCCGGAAGUAUAUUGGACCGGACAUCAUAUUUUCCAGACAGGGCUCACCUCCAUCACCAUCAUUUUGGGAUGAUGUGAGGUAUAUUUGAUGCUAUCUCCGCAUAACACCAUGUAAGGGCAUAUUCUUUCAAGUGAACUUACAAAUAGCCCAAGUUUUGUUAGAAAUGCAGACUCUGAAAAUUUCUAUGAUUUACAUAGAGAUAGCUCACUGGAAAUAUAUUUACUUACUCAACUACGAGAAUUAUUAAUGGCUAUAUCCUCCACUCACUCCGAAAGAUUCUCACUCCAAAAGAUAGUCAUGAAGACAUCAGGGGGAGAUAUUAAUCAGGGGGAGCAUCCAGAAGUAUGCUAUACAGAUUGCUGUACUCUUUUUUGCUUGGUUUUAAUGAGGCAACCAAUCUAUGGACAUGUGGUCUCCAAGGAGGAGUGUUGUAAAGAAGAAUAAGUAAAGAAGAAUAGGUGAAGCUCACAUAGCCAACUAACAUCCACUAAACCUAACCACACACCCACCAAACCAAACCAAUACCCAAUUGAUUGAAGAAUAUUAAUGAUGUUGUUGAUUGAAGAAUAUUAAUGAUGUUGUUGAUUGAAGAAUAUUAAUGAUGUUGUUGAUUGAAGAAUAUUAAUGAUGUUGUCUACCACUUAUAUUGUGAGGUGAACAACCAAUGUCUUAGGCCUAUAAAUAGAUACCUCCAUCAAGAGAAGUACACACAUAUAGAAGAGGAAGAGAAGGAAGAAUGAGGGUGAGUGAGUUGAGAGGAAAGAGAGCAAGAGAGAAAUUCUCCAAGAGAGAAAAUUGAGUGAGCCAUACAUAUUGUAAACACUAAAGUUGUAGCCAUAUUAUUUCAUAUAGUGAAAAGUUACUGUUGCUGCUCUCCGAGGACGUAGGCAUAGCCGAACCUCGUUAAAUACUGUGUCUCAUCUACUUUACGUGCAGCUCAAUAUUCGCACAUAUCUCAGUUCAUUUUAUAACAAUAUCUAUCAUUGAAAAUCUUUGGAGUCCUGGUUUAGUUUUUGGUCGAAUCUUCGGGCCCUUUCUUUUUUUUUUUUUUUGGUCUGGUAUUGGGCUUGGUCUUUGUUCGUCAUACUUGUCCAUUUUGUGUUUUUUUUUUUUUGGGCAUUAACCCACUUGUCCAUUUUUUUGGCUCUCUUAUUCCCCCUUACUAAAAGUAAAUUUCCAACUCCACAUAUUUUCUUCUCAUUUAUUUCUCUGUCACUUCAUCUCUUAUUUUAUUUUCUUUCGUACCUCUAUUUUGAUUCCAAAACAUACAAUAGAAAACGCUCAUUAGCACUCGCGCGAGCUGGUGCCAAGAGUUAAGCAAAUACUUUAGGGAGUUUUUGUUUAAAAUCAAUAGGAAGUUUACUAUUCUGGUUGAUGAUAAUCUAAUUUCACAUCAUCUAGAAAGGUCAAUGACUAAAAUAUAGUAUCCGAUCAUACAUAUAUUGUCACUCCUAUAUUUUAAUAAAUUUAUUUAAAGUCAAUCAUACAACGCCACAUGUCCAAGACCCACCUCCAGCCAAUCACCCACUGCCACAACUUCAAGUGCCCUUUAUUCACUCUAAAAAAAAGCAAAUUUUAUGUACUUAAAGAGACUUGAACCUUGACACUCAAAAGAGAAACUUCAAUUGCAAACUACUACACUGUCAUAGUUUCUUUUCUAUUCUAUAAACCUUUGACUUUUAUAUUAGUAUUUUUACGUUACUCUUAUAUUGAUAUUUUUUAAGUUUAUAAAAUAUAAUUUGCAAUACAGCGUCUUUAUUCCUUUUGGCUCGUAUCAAGGGCAGACCCAAGUUUAGGAUUGGGUGGGAUGUAGUCCAGUGCCACAAUUGAAAGUCUAAAAAGUUGGCCUUAGUACUUACUUACCCUAGAUUAGAAUGAUUCAAAGGCCAUAACCAUACAAAUCCAACCCAAAUCAACUUUCUAAUUAUCUUGUACACCGUCAAUUGAGCACACAGUUGGCACUACUUGUCCCAAAAAAUUGAUGAAUGAUUGGAGAGAGAGAGAGAGAGAGAGAGAGAGAGAGAGAGAGAGAGGCUUUGUUUUUUCUUUCCCACACAUCGUCACAUGGAGAUGCAUACGCAACUUGCCAUGUGGAGUGUGUUUGAGCUUUUGAUGGAUGCCGAGUAGGCAAUAAUAAUAAAAACCACGUUCCUCAAUUCCGUCUCAACAAAGUCAUUAGUCAAUAGCGACAAGUUGAUAAUUAACAGACGUGCUCUGCAUGACGCGGUCUCCCUCAAAUCUUAAUUAUAAUUGUAUCUUCUACAUCUAAAUGCGCGUUUAGCUCAGCAGCAUCACCGACUAUAUCCUCUCUUUCCUUCAAUCCAUUUUGCCUUAAUUUUCAAUUUGGAGGGCCCAUAAACCAUGUGAGUUCGUCCCACACAUCUUUUUCUCUGUCAAUUUAGUUUGAUAGUUAGGUCAUGGAUCUUAAGUAGGACAGUUUACUGCCCAAAAACAAUCUUAUUCGAUUUAGAAGUAAGGAUGGUUAGUUAGAGCACUUCCACCUUCAUUCUCUUUUAUCAUAACAAAUGGGGGCCUACACUACAAAAAUAAUAUCUCUUCAAAGAAAAAUUGUCAUGGUAAGAAGUGAGCUAUAAAACUGGGCAAGCUCAAAGGCAAGACUUGCUUGGGCAAGUUGACAUCAUGUCGACGUCAGUGUGACGUCAACGACCAAUUUAAAUACAAAAAAAUUUUAAAAAAAGAAUAAAUACCUAGUCAUAUUCUUCACUUCUCACAUCAAAAUCCAUACAAAUUCUUCUCUUCAUAUCCCAUGUGAAUAGUGGUUGCCCUUUGGUUGCCAUGGCAAUGGGUGGGAAUGCAUCAAAAAAAUUGCUAGGGCAAAUACUAUUCACAUGAAUAAUGUCUGCCCUUACUUGGCCUUACUCUUUGCCAUGGCACAACGGGUGGAAGUGCUCUUAAUUUGACCACAUUUUUCUUUUGUUUAAAAAAAUUGUUGAUACAUAAUCUGGCUCGAGCCAAUUGACCAUUAAUAGAACGCCACAUGAGCAACCUCGUCAAUAAAUACCUCACCACUUGGUCACCUUACCCGACCAUACUCAAGGAUUGCCCAAUUUGAUACAUGACCAAUGUUGAUGUUUGGUUCACUUGAAGAUGCGAAAUGAGUGAAGGAAACAGACGAUCAAAGAGGUGCAACAGUUUGACUAGGCUCUGCCGCUUGAGCAUAAUCUACAAGCGCUCGAGCGGCAGAGCGAUACUUCUCAUCCAAACCAAUGAGCUCGAGGGGCAUAGCUCAGACUCGAGCGGACACUGGCGCUCAAGCAGGACACGCAAAUCCAGUGCAUAUCCCUAGCGAAUCUGGACAUAUUUUCUCUUAGUUUUGGAGUCCUUUAAGUUUCAUAUUCCUUCUAUAAUUGUACUAAAGCCCUAUGACAUCUAAAUAGGCACUUUAACGCUAGGUUCUUAAGACGUGAGAAAGCUAAGGCAUCAAAUUGAAUUUGAGACAAGGGUGAGAGAAAAGAGAGGUAGGGUUUGUGAGAGAUCAAAGGGGGUUCUUCAUUGUAACCAAAUGGGUUCUUUCAUACUAGUGAAUUUCUCAGAACCUCUAUAAAUUCUUGUGUUCUUUGUGUGCGUGUUUACUUUGUGGUUUCGUGUGUGCUUUAUCUUUGCGUGGCUUAUGUGUGAUAGUUGCGUUGUCCAUCAACGACAAGGUCUUAGAGUGCUUUUGCACAACAACCACGUGGUGCUGAUUCAGAUCAGAUCGACUUGCUCAACCGACUAUGACACUUAAUUAAAACAAAUGUUAAUCUCUCCAAGCAAGACGUGGUUGACCAAAGUAUGAGUAUUUGGAGCUUAGUUACCAACCACUUCCUUAGACAAGAGUAAUAACUUCAUAACUCUCAAAAAAUUUGUCCAUUUUCACUCUAAAACACUAUCUACUUCACUCUGACUGUGGCGUCGAAGAGGGUUGGCUAGUAUCACACCAGUACUCCCGUAAUGACCCUUUUUUUCUUUUAUGCAUAUCAUUCCAAUUAAGAAGGGAAGACAUUACCCUCCAUACCGACCCGAUACACGCCUGACUUUAACCUAGUCUAUGUCUGAAGUUGACCAUUCAAAAUCAAGCGUCAAUAAAUUUCUUACUUUUACCAACUCUCUUUAUACAGACAAACUCACACAACAUGCACUGUUACAAGAUAUACACGGGCUCAAACCCAAGACAUUGACCCAAGUUGGGUAAGAUGUUGAUGAUCAGACUGGGCGUGUAUGAGGGAAAAAGAAGCUCGGUUAUUCAUUAUAGGAGUUGUACAUGAUUACAAGGGAGAAUGUGCAUAAGCAUUUAGAAGAAAUAAGGAGUUACAUAUGCAGUAGAGAGUUAUGAAAUUGUAGAAGAAAGAAAGGGUGGUAAUUCCCCUCUUUGUUGUACCAAAACCUCCUUUUAUAUGCAAGGGGAUAAGGUGCAAUCUUUUCAAUAUGAGGAGUAGCAGCUCCUUUCCGACCAAGUGGAUAACUGGCAAGUAAUCGCAUCCGAACAUGGGCUCCAACUGUAUGCUGACACAUGGAUUGUCAGAGGAUUCCCAUAUAGCUUCUUGAGGCGGCAGCACUAUGGGAUACUCUGACCUCCCUUCCUUCUCGAAUGAGGUCGAGUAAACGGUCAAUGAAAAGCUUAGGGCCCGUUCGGUAACGUUUUCGGAGAAUGUUUUCUUAGAAUAUUUUCAGAGAAUGAAAACAAGAAAACGAAUUUGCAUUUUCAGGAAAUGAAAAUGCUUCUGGUAGAUUAAUUAGAAAACAUAUUCAGAAAAUAAAAACAAUGAAAACGUGUCUGGUAGUACAAUUUGAAAUAAUAAUAUGUGAGUUAUUUUUAUGAAAACGUUUCCCAUGAGAAUGAAAACAAUUUUUUUUUUUUCUGUUUUCUACGAGUAUACAUGAACUUGUUUUCAUUUUAUGAAAACAUUCUCAGUGUUUUCUGUUUUUAGGCUACCGGACGUGUUUUUGCCUCAUUUUUGUUCUCUGAAAAUGAAAAACAACCCAUUUAAACGUUACCGAAUUGGCCCUUCUGGUCUGAUGCGGUGAUGUGAAAUGGAGGCGCCUUCACCGCUCUAGGUGGGUCUCGUGCAAGCUGGGAUUUAGAUAGAAGACCCCGUUGGCUGGUCAGAUCACUUAUGAGUUUGGUGCUAGGUUCGCGUCCACGUGGCAAGAUUUAGUAAUUUAUCCGGCUCGAUCAGUCCUACAUACAUGAACCGUGAUUGAUAAUUUUCAUAGUUAAAAUAAUUAGAGCAGAGCAUUUAAAUAAAAUUUUAAUUGAUAAAUUCCAAAUGUGAACCUACUUGCUAUUAUUGGUUCUCCCUAGAGGUAAAAAUUUUGGGUAUGAUAUUACAAAACAAUAUGGUCAGAUUGUGAACGUACUUGCUAUAAUGGGAUUUAGAUAUUAAUGUCCAAAUGGAUAAUAUUCAAGUACUAAAAUAUCAAAAAUAUUGAUGAAAUAUUGAGGAUAUUAUCAUUUUUUGGGGUCUAUGAUAUUCUGGAACAUAUCCAUACACAUCGUAUAAGUAUCGAUAAUAUCGACAAUAAUAUCAAAAAAUAUUAACGUCGAUAAUUUAUCUCACACUUCAGCAAUAUUUGGCCAAAAUAUCGCUAUAAUAUCGAUAAUAUCGAGAUGAUGAAGACAAUGAAAAAUUUAAAGAAUUAUUUACACUAACACCCCUUGAGGUUUCUUGUGUUUUCACAAAACCCCCUCAGGUCUCAAAAAUUACACAAACACCCCCCUGAGGUUUUAUUUUGUUUUCACAAAACCCCUUUUCAUUGAUUGUUUGUCCAAAAAUUGAUGAUUUCAUUAUAAAAAAAACUUACGCAAAUGAGAAAAUUAACCUCAAUGAACUAUAUGCAAUCUAAUCUCAAAGGCCAACUUUGUCAUUUGGAGAAUUUUUUUUGUAUAAAAUCAUCAAUCUUUGAAUGAAAAAUAAAUGAAAAUGAGUUUUGUGAAAACAAUUUAAAACCUCAAUGGGCGUUCUUGUAAUUUCUAAAACCUCAAGAAGUUUGUGAAAAUGCCAAAAACCUCAGGAGGUGUUAGUGUAAAUAACUCAAAUUUAAAGCUUAUAGGAACUCUAUUUGGUACUAAGUCACUCAUGUAUCUUACCAUGCAAUGUAUAAAGUGUAAAAUAUUGUAGUAAAUCAUUAUAAAUAAAUGAUUAUGGUGUGUUUAAUCUUCUUUCAUUAAUUACUACAUAUUUUGUUUACUCACAGCAUUUGUUAGCUCGCUAUAUAAUCAACUUAAAUCAGUUAAACCCAUUAUGCAAUGUAUUUCCUUUAAAUUUUUUGUGACAAAGUAAUAGAUAAUUGACUAAAUAAACUUCCUCCAAAGUUUUAAGAAAAAUUUCCAAGUUUUUCUUACAAUUUCUGUGGUUUUUAUUCAAAUUUUAUCGAUAUCAAUAAUAUCCCGAUAUUUCCAUUAUAAUUUGUUUUUGAACCACCAAUAUUUCCAAAACCAUCUAUAUUUUAAACCUUGAUAACAUUAUUUUCUUAAGAACGCAUAAUUCAUAUAUAAUAUAUAAAUUAUUGUUAAUUACCAUAUGCGAACCUAGUUUAUUACAAUACAUUUUUUCGCAUAGGUAGAAUUGCAUUCUAUGUAAUGGUACUGUUAGACGAGAACCUAACCUGGGACAUAACUUAUUGGCUCUACAAAACGUAAUGGUAGAUAAGCACCUUAAAAACAUUUCCACAUCGCCUGGUCAUGACCAUCAUUUGCAGGCACAACUUUUCUCUUUGUUCUCUACACCAAAGGGACCGCCAAUUUGUUAUUGUUCUUACACUGAAUGUCUUUCAGAAAAAGACCACUAUUUUUUCUAAACACUUUGGCUUGGCUAUCUAGUUUAUGUCUAAUAAAUUUUGUGUGGCUUAUUGUAUAUUAUUAGUUGUUUAUUGGUGACUUCUUUUUUAAUUUUAAAUGACGAAUAUUGAGUCAACGGGGUUUAGCUUAAUAAAAAAAAAAAGUAUUGAUUUGCAAAUCAAUGGUCUUAAGUUCGAACCUCCAUGACACACUGGCAGUGUGAGUGUGUGUGAGCAAAUUCUCUUCCCCUUGUAGUUUGGAAUAUCACUUGUAUUCAAAAAAAAAAAAUUACGAAUAUUGUUAAGAUUCCAACAAGAUUUCUAAUCAUUUUGAAAUAAUAGUCUAAACUACAGGGGAUGAGGGUUUCUCACAUACACUCAUACUAUCAAGGUGCCUAUUAGGGGUUCGAACCUAUGCAAGUUAAUACCUUUUUCUACUGGGUCAGACACAAUUAACGUAUGUUUGUGUUACUAAAUGAGUUUAUUGUGUGUCUUUCUUAAUCUUAUAGUUAUUUAAGUUUAGCAUCCCAUGACAAAAUUUCCAUCAUAUAAAGAAAAUUAAGGUCGUUGCUAGCUUAUAAAUGGAUAUGGUUACUGAUUAACGCAAUUGGAUAAGAUAUAAACAUAAACAUAAGUUCAUACAAACAAACAAAAAUUGCAUCAGAAUGCAGUUUCAUUAACAGAAAAAAAUAAUAAUAAUAAUUAGAGGGUGAAAUGUCAACGAAGAAAAAGUAUGGAGGGUAAAAUGAGCAAAAAGAAGUUCAUCAAACAGAAAUUGUACCUCCCUUUAGAUAUAUAACUUGGGUAAAUUGCGAAAAUGGUCCUCAAACUUGUAUGCGAUUUACAUUUUGGUCCUUAAAUUAAAUUAUUAGUCCAAAUGGCACAUAAACUCUAUUUUAAUCGCUCAUUUGAUCCAACCGUUACAUUUUCUGUUAAAUGUAACCAAAUUUUAGGGGUAAAUACGACUUUUCAUAAUUAACAAAUAAAAUAGGGUUAAAAUAAAUAUAAAAUUAGAAAAUAAUUGAAGAAAAAGAGAGGAAAAAAUCAUGAGACCCAAACCCCCUCCCUUCGAUUUCUUCUCCCCUAUUCCAAUUACUGAGUUUUUAUUUUAUUUUAUAUUAUUUUUUUAUUUUAACAUAAGAAAUGACCAAUUUGCCCUCAUAUUUAACAGCAAUAUUGACAGAAUGUAACGGUUGGAUCAAAUGGGCGAUUAACAUAGAGUUUAUGUGCCAUUUGGACUAAUAAUUUAAUUUAGGGACCAAAAUAUAAAUCGCAUACAAGUUUGAGGACCAUUUUCGCAAUUUACCCUAUAUAACUUACUAUGAAGGUGUUAUGAGGUUCAAAUUUGAAACUAUAGUCUAUAAGUUAACUUUUUUUUUUUCAUUGAGUCCCAUUGACAACUCUUCUAAAUAUUUAAUUAUCUUUUUCAACUAAAUAUAUUUUCAGACAUUCAUUCACUAUAUUUAUACUAAUCAAGUCCUUUUUUAUGCAUAACACAAGACCCCUUACCUCUUUUCCUCUUCCCCAUUUAUUAAAAAGGAAAAUUUGUAUAAAUACUACUUAAACUAUUAGGUAUGUGCACGAUUACUACAUGUGUUGCGGUUAAGAAGAUAGACCAUUGGUUAGUCUAACAAUCGAACUCUUAUGUGAAGAGAUGUUUGUCUAAGAGCAUCUCCAACAACCUCUUCAACAACUUUAGAAUGUUAAAAUUGGUGAGCCACAUCAUCAAAACCUCUCUAACUACUUUGUCAAACUCAGUCAUCAAAGGUACAACCUCUUUCUCUCUUUUCAGAACUGGUAAGUUGACAUUGGCUCUUUUUUUUUUCUUUUUUUUUUCCCUUGAAAAUUGACCUUGGCUCUUCAAAACAUUUAAUUUUACUUUGAAAAAACAAAACCUACCUUGAAAAUGUUAAAAACAUGCAUUUUUUUCUUUUCAAAUAAUAAAUACAUAGACAUUUUUCACAUGUUUUCAUAUUUAUUUUUUUAAAUUAUUAAAGUAGCAAAUAAAUCAUUUCAAAUUGCCAUAUAGGUCAACCAACUUUAGUUUGAAGAGUUCAGUUUGCUACUACUAUUGAAGAUGCUAUGAUCUUCUAGUACAUAGCUUGAUUUUUUUUUUAUUUACUUGUUUUUCUCCUCUCAUAAAUAAAAAGUUUAAUUACACCAAUACUCCCUGAAACUUCGAUCAAAUCUCACUUUGCCCCUCCAAACUCAAAUUGCCCACUUUCAUUCCUUGACGGAGGUUUGGUGACCCGUUUUACCCCUAUCGUCAACUCCAUCCGAAAAUUUGUUAACUUUGAUGAUGUGACAUGAGUGUUUUUGUAAUUUCGUACACAUAAAUCAUUAUCCACCAAUUAAGUAGGUGACGUGGCAAGUAGAGCCCACCUCACCUAGAUGAAAAAGAAAAACAUUAUUUUAUAUAUGUUUUUUUAAAACAAGGAAAAUGAAUCAAACCUAAAAGUUUCUUAAAAAAAAAAAAAACCCCUAACAACCAAGACAUCAAUCUUCUUCUUCAAUCAAAUUUCCAAAAAAACUCACCCACACCCCUUCCACCGCUCAUCAGCUUCUCUCUCUCUCUCUCUCAUUCCUAAACCAAAUUCGUAGCCCCCCCCCCCCCUUUUCCGAUCUAGAGUAGAUGCGGCUCCUCCACGAUCCUAGAUCCCCACCCUACCUCUUUGACCCAAAACCACCCUCCUUUCCUCGACCCUAGAUCGGCAAGAUCGAGAUCUGACGACCAACAUGUAAUUGAAAGGUCGGAAAAAUGACAAAAGUACUGACAAUGAAGGAAAGAAAGCAAAACUAAAUGCCUGUCGAUACCAAAACCUGCACCAAAGACAAUGUUAAUUGAUUAUUUAAUUUUUUUUAUUUUAUCAACUGAUGUGGAGGGUGGUUUGGGUCGGGGAGGUGGGGUGGGGUGGGGAUCUGGGGUUAGGGAGAAGGGGUAGCGGCUUUGGUUGGGGAGGGGGAUUGCAAAUUUGGUCCAAGAAGGUAGGGGGGAGAGAGAGAGAGAGAGAGAGAAGGGGGGUGGUGUUGGGCGGUUGGAAUGGGGGAGGGGUGGAAAGGGGGGUGGGUCGGGUUGGUUUAGAGCAAGUCCAGCGGUAGAGGCUGGCCCAAGCAAAAGGCAAAAAGGAGUCCGAGUCCAGCUCCAGCGCAAGCAAUCUAGCCCGGGCAAGCUGCGGGUCCCACGAGCCCGGGCAGGCCCAAGGGCGAAAUCAGACUGGGCUCGAGCCCGAGUUGAGCUGACGUCAGCGCACUAAAAUCAAAUUUUUUUACUGUUGGCGCGUGUAAUACACGCGCCAACGGUAAGAAAAAUUUGACUGAAGUGUGCUGACGUCGUCGUGACGUCAUCGAUGAUGUCAGCUCCAACGGCUACUGCCACGUGUCGUCACCAGGUGGCUCCGAUUGGAUUUUUUUCAGAAAUCCUACAGUUCUCAUUUUUUUGGCCAAAAAAAUUUAUAAAAAUCCAAAUAAAUUCGAAAAAAUUCUGAAAUUUUUUUAAAAAAAAUACCAAAAAUGUAUGUAUUUUUUCCCUAUAAAUACCUAACCAUUUUAUCUACUUUCAACACCAAAUCUUCAUACAAUUUCUUCUCCAUACAAUAUUUUCUACUCUCCACUCACAUAAUUCAUUUUCCACACCAAAUCUCCAUACAAACUCAUCUCCUUCCAAUAUUUUUUACUCUCUACUCAUAUUUUUAUUAAUGAAUAUCCGAAAAUUUUAUCUGGAAUAAGACACGUGGCAACCGAGAUGCACAUCCGAAAAUCUUAUCCGAAAAUUUAAUUAAAAAGAUUAUCAAAAUUAAUGAUUUAAAGUAUAAAAAAAUAGGAAANNNNNNNNNNNNNNNNNNNNNNNNNNNNNNNNNNNNNNNNNNNNNNNNNNNNNNNNNNNNNNNNNNNNNNNNNNNNNNNNNNNNNNNNNNNNNNNNNNNNCUUUAAACCAUUAAUUUUGAUAAUCUUUUGUAAUUAAAUUUUCGGAUAAUAUUUUUGGUUGUCACGUGUCCAUUGUUUUAAGAAAAGAUUUUCGGAUGAGAAUCUCGAUUGCCACGUGUCUUAUUCCAGAUAAAAUUUUCGGAUAUUCAUUAAAAAAAAUUAUAAUCUCAGAUUUCAUAUAACAUUUUCACCCUCUAAAAUUGUACCACGUGUCCCAUGUCAGAUAAGAUUUUCAGAUAUUUUAAAAAAAUUAUAAUCUCAUAUUUCAGAUAAGAUUUUUUUUUUCUUUCUACAAAUGGAAAGUAGUAGAAAAAUGUGAGUGGAGGAUAAAAAAUAUUGGAAGGAGAAGAGUUUGUAUGGAGAAUUGGUGUGGGAAGUGAAAAAUGUGAGUGAAGAGUAAGAAAUAUUGGAAGAAGAAUAGUUUGUGUGGAGAAUUGGUGAGGAAAGUGAAUAAUGUGAGUGGAGAGUAAAAAAUAUUGGGGAUGGAGAAGAAUUGUAUGAAGAUUUUGUGUGGAAAGUAAAUAAAAUGGUUAGGUAUUUAUAGGGAAAAAAUACAUAAUUUUUUGGUAUUUUUUAAAAAAAAUUUCAGAAUUUUUCAGAAUUUUUUUGCAAUUUUUUUAGCAAAAAAAACGAGGACCGUCGGAUUUCUGGAAAAAAAUCCAUCGGAGCGUCCCUGGCGCGACACGUGGCUUGUUACAGUUGGUUGCUGUCAGGGAUGACGUCAGCAUGACGUCAUCCAACUCGGGCUGAAGCCCAGGCUGAAGUUGCCCUUGGGCCUGCCCGGGCUCGUGGGACCCAGCAGCUGCCCGGGCUCUCUUCCUCGCGCUGGAGCUGUGUUGGGCUCGCCUGGGGGCCCUUCUACCCGGGUUGGGUCUUGCGCUGCCAGUGCUCUUAGAGGAGAGAGAGUUUUUUUAAUAUUUAAUUUUUUUAGUUAUUAAUUGACUAUUUAUUUUUUUUAAUUGUUAAUUAAUUAUUUAAUUUGUUAUCUUUUAUAUUUUAUUUUUAUCAGUUGAUGUGGCACAAUAAGUCUGAAUUUAGGUGGGUCAUUGAUUAUUGAUGUACAAAAUUACAAAAACACAUGUACCACAUAAUCAAAGUUAACAAAUUUUUGAUGGAGUUACAGCAUAAAGUAAAGUGGGGGGUACGAAAUCUCGGUCAAAAGAUGAAAGUGAGCUAUUUUAAGUUUAAAAAGACAAAAUAAAAUUUAACCGAAAUUUCAAAAACAUUAAUGUAAUUAAGCCUAAAUAAAAUAAUAUCCUUGAUUCUAUAAAUAAAUAAAGCCAAAAAGGAAAAUUGACUCGCUGCAACAUUUUACGAGGUCAGUUAUUGUACUUCAAUGCAGUUCACGGUUUUCUUUAUUAAAAAAAAACAGGUUAAGUCAGUUGUUUUUUUUAAUCCAAAUGGGUCAAUAAUUUAGUGUAUAAUAAGUUCUUAACAUUCCCAUUGCUGACAUAAACUCUAACUCGAUAAGCGAGGCAAAUAUCUAAAUCUCAGAUCGCCGGCAGCCAACCCAAAAAUGAAAAAUAAAUAAAUAAAAUAAAAAGAAAACGAAAAAAAGUCAGAGACAAACAUGUCGGUGAUGCAUAUAUUUUAUUUAUGCAAUACAAUUCUGUUUGGUUUUUUUUGUUUUUUAGUUGAAAAAGGCCAAAAAUAGAUCUACUUUCAACAUUUACAGCUGCCCUUCCCUUUUACUUUGAACAAAUUUUUGGAUGAGAAUUUUAAUGGGUCGAGCCGACACAUUUGUCAUUAAAUAUUCAACGGAAAUAAACAUGUCAUCAGAAUUAUUCUAAUACAUCUCUAGUGUGUCAUUAUGGUCAAAUCCCGUCAUUUUUCAUGCAGAAUUUUCAACUGGCUUGGGCAACUAAGCCGUUUGUCACUCUCAUAUGUAUUUGACACAUUUCCAUUACUUGGUCACUCCAAGUAGUUGUCAUUCAAAUUAUUCAAUAAAUAUAUUGUGAGGAAUGAAUUAGUCAACCUUCAGAAAGGUCCUUUGUGCCAUGAAAUUAAGAAAAGAAAGACAAUCGUAAGUUCUUGUGGACACUAGUGCGGUGAGUUAAAAGAUCACUAAUGCCUAAGUCAGUAGUGUUGUACAGAGAGAAUUAGGGUUUCUUAGUUCAAUAAACAAUUACCUUCUCUAAGAGAUAGAGGUUGGUUUAUAUUUGACCCUUUGAUGGUUGAUUUACCAUUGCGAGAGGCUACAUGUUUGACGUUGAUUGGGAGUCAGCGUAAUCUCCUUAGUUAUUGUUGAUGCAGUUAUUAAAGAUAUCCCUAAUAUUUUGGGUUGAUGCUUUGGUGAUGUGCCGCCUAAGGAUAAGUCAUCUUUGAGCUUAUCCCCUUAUGCCUUACAUGAUCUAGGCUUAGAUCAGACAUGUCCAGUUUGACAUUGCUGUGCUGUAAAAAUAAUCACUUUUAGAUUUACUGUGAAAGAAAUCAGCUGUGAGAUAAAGCAAUUUGACGUUUGGUAAACUUUUUGUUAGAAGUGCGGUUGGUAAUAAAUAAAUAAAAGGGGGUUAUUUUUGAAAAUUUGAAAGUUUCAUUAAAUCCAGCGCCUCUUCAAAACUGUUUCCUAGAUAAUCAAAAAAUAAAAGCAGCUCAUCACCUGCUUUCCUUAAUUACUUUCUCUCACAGCAAUUAUUCAAAAUAAGUGAUUUUAUUAUCUUUUAUCAAAUAGGUUGAGCUUUCAAAAUUUUUAAAAUAAUCACUUAUAGCCCCAAAUAAGCAAAUGCCAAACGAACACGCAUGUGUUGAAUUGGCUUGUCUAUGGGCUUUUGCCUAACGAAAUGUCUUGCGAUGCUUGAUUGAUUGGAUGUUUUGUAUUUCUCCCGCCCCACACUAAGGGCAAUUUGGUCCAUGUGGAUGCUUUUUUGUAUACGAAGUGGCUUUCCCACAGAUAUCAUGUUAGUGUAAAUGACAAAAUACAUAGAAUCUUAUCUCCCCUUAACCAAGAAAAGGAUAUGGAAUAUUUUGGUUCGGUUGCUUUACAAAAACAUUAUUAUUAUUUUCUAGAUACAAAAAUAUUAUUCAAUAUAACGAAAAUAAUGUUAUAAAUGAACCCUCAAUUCAAAUACCAAAAACUUCAAACUAUAAUUUUUGUUUUUAAAAAAAAAAUUCAAAUAGAAAUUUCAUUAGAUAAACUUUAACGGUACAAUCAUAGACAUUAACAAGACAUCUAAAGUACCAAUCCUAAGAGGGCAACAAACUAACAUGCUAAAAGCAAAACUAACGAGGACAAAAGCCACACUAAAACUACUAGCCCACAUCACCACAAUUAACCAUAAGCUUAAAUAAAGCCCACAAACUCAACAUAACCAAAAUACUAAAACAACCUAUGAAUCUAAACGAACACUACCACCACCACCUGAAGAAACGAUGUGGCGGCCACACCCACCACCACAUCCAUAACAUAUCUGGGGGAAAUAUGAUUUCCAGCAAUCAACUUGCGCAUAAGCACAAACAAAUAAACAAAAGCAACAACUUUGCCAAAGAAAAAUUGGGUGAUUUGCAGCAACUUCCGUCAAAGACGAUAUAGAAUCAAAUUUAGAGAACAUGAGCAGCGUUAGGAAGUGAGUUUUAGGAGAAUGAUUUGAUUGAUAACAUAGACUAAAAAAAGGUGAUGGGGAACUUCAAUCUAAGCAUGACUUAGAAAAAAUCAUCACAAUGGACUUUUUAUUCAAAACACUCCAGUUGACUUAUUCACUAACAUAAAAAGGAAAAGACGAUAAGAGAGGAUGGGGAGGAGGGAGCGGUGACGCUUCUUUCUCAUCCCCCUCUAUGGAGUUUUCCUUUAGAACUCGUAGAGGAAAAGAGCAGCUAGAAUUUCUGUCAACUACAGUUAUUACUUGAGAUGACUGAAUUUAUAAUUAUUCUAUACAUGUGCAUUUUCUCUUUCUUUUUUCCUUUUCCAUGCAUGUGAAUUUUCCUUGAGAACAAAAGUUUGAGAUUCUUGGAUUUCGAAGUUCAACUAAAUCAAGAAAUGUAAUCUUUGACCCCUUUCCUAGUUAAAGGAAAAGAAUUGCAAACCUCAAAUCCUCUUCGCUUCAACAUAUAUUAAGGAAUAUUUGAAAAAAUAACCCAUAAUUCAUAAAUAAUAUUGAGUUACAUCAUAUAGUGAAGGCAAUCACGUACAGAUAAGGUAUAAAUUCCAUGCCAUUUUCAACUUGGAACCUUCACUUUUUGAUUUCUGAUGUUAGCAAUCAAGUGACUCACCAACUUUACCAAAACAGCAUACACAUUAUUAUUAUUAUUAUUAUUUAAACAAACUUGUAACGGAGUUAACAUCACGUGACAAAUUAGAGAUUUUGAAAUAAUAAAAUGACAUCUCUUAAAUUUUUAUUUUUAUUUUUAUUUUUAUGACAGUAAAUUUGAAAAUGAUGUAUAUGUUUAUGUGGCAUUUCUAAAAAUUGAUGUAGGAUUUUGAAGGCUUUUUUUUGGGCUACCGUACAAAGGUGCUUUCAUUCUUCCAUUGAUUUUCUGAAUUUAAUAUAGUUUUUGUCUAGAAAAUAUCGCUGAUAAAGGAGGUGAUGAAUGAGCGCACAUAUUUUUGCCAAAGGACCAAACUUUGUCUUUUAUUUUUUAUUUUUCCUUAGAGGCUGCUAAAAUACCAAACUUCUUUUUUGGUCCAAAACUACCAAACUAUAAUAAUGGGUUCAGAAAGAAAGAAAAAUAACAUUGACGGUGGUGGCGACAUAUGAAGAUUUGAUUGAUUGCAGAAAGGUGGACAAGAAAUAAGAAUGAUAAAUAUAUAAAAAUGGUAAGAAAUCUUUUGAUUUUUCUGACUUUUGUGCCUUUUGGUGGUUCAACACCCACCACGCAUGUUUUAUUUUUAGUAUAAGUAAUAAUCUAAACUACAGAGGAGAAAUGUUUUUUUUAUAUAAAUGCACAAUCAAGAUUUUAUAGGAUUUAAACAUGAGACUUCUGGUCUGCAAGUCAAGGCCCUUGUUCAUUAAGCUAGACCAAAUUAACCUCCUACUGCACAAUUUAAAAAUAUAUAACUUAGUGCCAAACACUAGGGGUUGGGCGCAAUUUAAUUAGAAUAUGACUGAUUCAAUUUGGUUCACACUAAACUUACCAUAUAAUCAAACCCAUCCAAAAAUACUAACAAAAAUAAAAAUAAAAAACCAAUCCAUAAAUGGGAUUUUAGCAUAAAAGUCAAAUUUACCAACCUCCUAUUUGGCGUCUUAUGUCACUAAGAGCAUUCAUAAUGAGCUCUUUAAACCACAUAUUUAGACAAAUUUUAGAGAGUUAUUGGAAAAAUUCAACUCCAACCAUGCUUUCUAUCCACCUUUAAAAAUAGGGAGACUUCUAGGAGCUCUUAAAUUUGAGAAGAGAGAAAAAACUCAUAGUGACUCUAAUGUAUAAUUUAAUGUUGCUUUAUUUUAUGAGUAUUUUAAACCUUUAAUUAAUACUUACUAUUAUAUAUUUGACAGAGAUCGACCAAUUAAAGGAUUAAUACAACACUUACAUAUUCUUUUAAGUAAGACAUGUCUACCGGGAAACCAAUAUGGUAGUUGAUCUGGCCAUCAAUCAUGGCAAACUUAACCCUUGUAUUUGGUUUACUAACUUUUCAUUGUCCGUUUCUUUAAAGCUUAUGUAUGAUAACAAGAAUAUUGGGAUCCUUAGAUACUCCUUGUAAUUUAUUUCUUGUAAUUAUCGCUGUCAAUAUUUUCUGGCAUUAUCGACACUUAUACUGUAUGUGUAUGGAUAUGCUCCAAAAUACCCUAGACUCGAAAAAAUAAUAAUUUCGUCAAUAUUAUUGAUAUUUUAGUCCUUGAUCAUGGGUAUAAUUGUCUAAUCAUAGCUACUGCAAACAGUCGUGUUUUUAAAAUUUUUAUGUUGAUUCUUUAUUCUUUCUGUGGUUGGUUAGGCCCUCUCAAUUCAAAUGGCCUGCAACAAGUUAAAUUACUCAUGAUUUUUGUCCUUAUUAUUUGAAAGUUAGCAUGGAAGUUUUGAAUUUUGUGUGAUGUUUUAGGGCUUAUGAAUCGAUUAACUUUUUUCUUGGAGAAAAAGGGUGAAAUUGAAGAAUUUAACUUGUUGCUUGAUGAAGGAAAAAGAAAAAUAAAGGCAACAAAAGCAAAAGGAAAAGUUAUUGCACAUGUCCUAAAAAUGCAGCAUGUAGAAUCUAACGCAAUGUAAGUGCAUGGAUUUGUAAGGAAAAAGAAAUACUUCUCAAGCACAAAAAUAUAAAGUACUUUUAGAGCCAACAAAAACAACAUACCUAUUUUCUCUUAAUUAUGUAUAUUAAGUGUUCUAAUUCCACAAUGAAAAAAUUGAUUGAAGGAAUGUACUCUUAAUUUGUUGUAAUUUUCACAUUCUCAUUUUUUAUAGGGUUACACCUAAUUACUGUGCCAUCUACACCUAAUUACUGUGUAAUCAAUAGGUAAAGUGUAGCUUCGAGUUGAGUUAAAUUGUCAUAAUGCUUUUAAUAUAGGGUUAAAACGAAUUUGGUGAAUGAACAUUGACAAAAUCCGUGAAGAUAACAUGAUAUUAUUGUGUCAACUCAUAAGGUAAGGCUGAGCACUUACAUUGUUGUGCGCUUAUCAUGGCCACCAUGGCUAGACAAAGAACAAAAAAAGAGUUUGGAUCUUAGCAUGAUGUCAUAUCUUUAAUUAAAAUCGGAUUAUUGAUAUGUUUAUAUCGUUUUGGCGAAAAUAUAUAUUAAUAACAUGUUGUUAUGUUUUGUUGGCUACAAUAAUAUAAAUAUAUUACCAAUGAAAUAUACACAAUCCGAUCUAUAAUAAAAGAUUGACGUCCUUUAUGCAACCAAACUAAGAGUAGUUUUAUCAAUAUUUUUCUACUUUAAAUGAGUUUAAAAUCUAAAGAGUAAAAUAAAAAUGAUUGAAAUCAUUUUUCUUUAACUUAAAAUAAAACUUAAGCUCAAGUUCACCCUUUCACGCUGCAUUUGAAUGUCACUUAUACAAGACUUUGUCGUACGCUUUACAUCACAAUAAUAAAUCACAUCCAACCUACGUCAAAAAGAAAAACAAGAAAUAAUAUACAUAUAUAUCUAUACAGUCCCGAUCUCUUGGACCACAGGAGUCCAAGAGAUUGUGGUCACCCACCGUUGGAUAUUAAUUCAAUGGUUGAAAAAAGUUUUUUAAAAUGAGUGCAAGAGUGAGUGAACCGUUGAAUUUACAUCUAACGGUGAGUGACCACAAAUUUCUUGGACUCCUGUGGUCCAAGAGAUCAGGACUGUAUAUCUAUAUAUAAAGACAGAUCCCGCGAGCUUUAGGGGAAGGAUUAAUUGCCAAUGGACUCCAAUGGGUUUGGCUUAUUUUUAAUCACAUCCUAACAGUUCUAUGUUUUCUACUCUCACUUAUUUUUAACUGCGGUCACCCCAAUUCAAUUCAAUACUUUUUCUUUUGUAUAUAAUACUUAAAUGAUUAUUUAUUCAAAUGAUUCUCAAAUUUAUACCCAAGUUGUAUUUUGGCUUUUCAACUAAAUUAUUCGUUCAAAUGGUUCACCAUCUCUUUAGUAAUCGGUACAUUGGUCCUACUCUUACAUUUUUUUGAUAAAUUUAGUCAUGUGAGCAGCACAUACUACAGUUAUAAGAGUAAAUAAGACUUUUGACAAAUAAAAAAAUAAAAAAAUAUGAUUAACAAUUAAUAAAAAAAUUCUUUAUUUUUAAAUUAAUUAAAACUUUAAAAGAAUAAAAAAAACAAAAAGUAACCCUAAAAAGAACAACAACAAAAAAAGCCCACCCAAACCCACCCCUAUCUCAUCCUCCCCACUCCAAUCCCAACCCCCAUCUCAUCCUCCCAAUCCCAAUUCCAAUCCCAAUCUCAAUCCCAUUAGUCCAACAAAGUUCCAUUGUGGGUCUGCAACUCUCGUCAAAAAAAUUAAGGAAAAAGUCAGAGAUCCGUGCUGCAAAUCCACUACUUGUUUAUGCUUACACCUUCAAAGUGAGAAGGUGAGAGCUCUCUCUCUCUCUUUUUCUCUAAACAAACCAAGAGCCUUGCAGCCCCAAUAAAAGUUUGAAGGGAGAAAUAGAAGGAGAGAGAGAGAGAGAGAGAGAGAGAGAGAGAGAGAGAGAGAGAGAGAGAGAGAGAGAGAGAGGAAGAGGGAACAGGGAGGGAGGGGAAGAGAGUGUGGGCUGUGGGGAGGAGAAGAUGGGACGCUAGGGGCUGGGAGGUGGGAGAAGGUGUAACAUCUCGUCCCAAAAAUCGCUGUUCAAUUGAUUAUUUAUUGUGAAAAUACAUUUUUGCCCUUGGGUGUAGGGCCACUUUAGUCACUUUUUGUUCCGAAAGGAAUAUGGGGAAUUGAGUGGCAUCAUUGCAUAGAUAGAGCUUGAUGCUACGAGUUUGUAGACAGGUAGCAUGUUCAAUUCGGAGUUAAAACGAAGAAGUUAUGAUCUACGGAAGUGCAGUGGCACAACCAUAAUUUUUGCGAAGUUAAAAUUUAAAUAUCCUAGCUUCUCUCUCUCGCAACACUCUCUCUCCUUGACUUUGUCUCUCUCCCUCUUCGUCUUCCUCCCCUCUUCCUAAUCCAUACCACGAACGACCUCAAAACUCCUAGAUUAGCCUUGAUUUGUCGCCUGCGAUGUUCAUGCAAUUUCCAGCUAUUCCGGAUACCAAAUUCGUCGAAUGAUGUAUGGAACUUCAUCCUCUCAUCUUGCUCUACUUGUUUAUGUACUUAGUUUGGAUCGAUUUUGAGGUUUUACAUAUCGAUUCUUAAACCCAUUUUUGGCCGAUGGUUUCGGCUUCGUUCCGGCUAUUUCUGGUCAGUUUUUGGCCGUGGUCUAAGAACCAAAAAUGCUCCCCUAGGUAUUUGUAGGGUGUUUUGAGAAAUUUCCAUUGUGCUGCCCAUUGCGUGGAAGCCUAUUGCGUUCUAAAUUGUUCCACUUGUCAUCAUGAGUAUGAUGGUGUGCUCGGAUUUGGAAUUGGUUAUCGUUUGAUAGUUCGAUCAGUUCCAAUUUCAAUUAUGUUGUUCUCUGUACCUCUAAGAUUGUGUAGGAACUUCUUGAUCGAGAAUUGGAGUUCCGGAUACUCUGAGUCAAUGAUUCUAAGUUUAGGCGAAACGAUCGCCGUCCGAUCUUGCGAUUGGCUUAGAUCCGAUCGCUCGGUCGAGACCAAAUUUUCAAUACUUGUUUAGUAGACUUUGUUGAACAUACAGGAACUUUCUGGUCAGAAAUCGGAAGUCGUGAGCCCCGCAUGCCUGUUUGACCUCGAUGGUGGGCCUCGCUGGCCUGACCGGGACUUUUCGGUUAGGAGGUGUUUGUGGUUUGAUUGUUUGAUUUUAAAUUGGUAUUUGACCUAGAUGGUGGGCCUCGCUGGCCUGACCGGGACUUUUCGGUUAGGAGGUGUUUGUGGUUUGAUUGUUUGAUUUUAAAUUGGUAUUUUGCUACAAGAGUUUUAUUAACUGUUUACGAAUUGUUUUUCUAUCACUUUUACUUUCCAAGCAUGAUAUAUCCAUGUUUAUUUCUAUAUAUGCGCUAAAUGGAUUAAUAAUUGGAUUGUGUUGCCUUCAGAAAUAUGGUUGCCUUCGAAGGUGUCUUCAGACAUCUCAGUUGCCUUUGAAAAUAUUGAUGUCUUCGGACAUCCUAGUUGCCUUCGGAAAUAUUGUUGCCUUCGAAAAUAGUGAUGUCUUCGAAAAUAUUGAUGUCUUCAGACAUACAAUUGCCUUCGGAAUGUCUUUGGACCUAUGGUUGCCUUCGAAUUGUCUUCGGACACCUCAGUUGCCUUCGAAUAUGUCUACGUGUCACAUCCCGGGAUCAACUCCGCCAUAGCACGAUAUUGUCCGCGUUGGGCCCCUCCUCUCUGGCCCUCACGAUUUUGUUUCUGGGAGCUCACGACCAACUUCCCAGUGGGUCACCCAUCCUGGGAUUGCUCCAACUCGCUUAACUUCGGAGUUCCUACGACUCCGAAGCCAGUGAGCUCCCAAAAGGCCUCGUGCUAGAUGGAUGCGGGUGUGCACAUAUAAGGCACAUCACCCCCUCUCCGUUGGUUGAUGUGGGAUCUUACAAUUCACCCUCCCUUAAGGGUCCGACGUCCCCGUCGGCACACUCGCACCACACGGCAGAGUGGCUCUGAUACCAAAUUGUCACAUCCCGGGAUCAACUCCGUCAUAGCACGAUAUUGUCUGCUUUGGGCCCCUCCUCUCUGGCCCUCACGGUUUUGUUUCUGGGAGUUCACGACCAACUUCUCAGUGGGUCACCCAUCCUGGGAUUGCUCUGGCCCCCAACUCGCUUAACUUCGGAGUUCCUACGACUCCGAAGCCAGUGAGCUCCCAAAAGGCCUCGUGCUAGAUGGAUGCGGGUGUGCAUAUAUAAGGCACAUCACCCCCUCUCCGUUGGUUGAUGUGGGAUCUUACACUACGUGCAUAUGACAUUGCCCCACGAGUAUCGGGACUCCAGAACUAUGUGGUGUGAGGAUUUGCAUUCUCAUAUUAAGUAUAUCUUCCUGAGUUAUGCGAGGGGAGUUGAUGAAUUAUUUGCAUUCCCAGGUGGAGUAUAGCUCCAUGAGUUAUGUGAGAGGCAUUGACAGAUUAUUUGUAUUCUCAUGUGGAGUAUAUCUCCCUGAGCUAUGCGAGAGGAAUUGAUGGAUUAUUUGCAUUCUCAUGUUCAAUAUAUCUUCCUGAGCUAUGCGAGGGGAAUUGACGGAUUAUUUGCAUUCUCAGGUGGAGUAUAUCUCCCUAAGUUAUGCAAGGGGAAUUGAAGGAUUAUUUGCAUUCUCAGGCUGAGUAUAUCUCCCUGAGUUAUGCGAGGGGAAUGAUAGAUUAUUUGCAUUCUCAGAUUGAGUAUAUCUCCCUGAGCUAUGUAAGGGGAAUUGACGGAUUAUUUUGAGGUACAUCUAUGUGGAGAUUAGUGCAGUACUAACAAGUGGUACAAUUAUUAUGAUAUUUUUUCGCCACCCCGCUCAUAUCAUCUGCACAGGGUUGGCCAGGAUCUUUAGCCACCUACCCGACUUGUCUACACAUGUGGUUAGCUAGUUUUCCCUUCCUUUUUUGCCUUUAAAUUUGAUGGUAUUCCCAUAUACCCCUUGGUGGGUGAUUACAAGACAUAUGCACUAUGUGAAUGGUUGCAGGUAUGACUUUCAAGUAAAAUGUUUGGUUAUGCACGGAUUUGGAUGUACAAUGAUAAACUAAUUGAACAGUUAAGUACAUAAUUUCAUGGCAUGAUAUUCAAUUACAUAACUAGUUGAAAUCAAGGAAAAGAAUGAUUCUAGAAUUUUCAUCGUUGGUUUCACUUUGAGUUUUUCUAUAUUAUCUUAAUUGUGAUUCAUAGUAGAAAGAACUAAGUGUGGCUUGAUCCCUCAGUAAGGGUACGUAGGUAACCUAGGCUAACCUAGGUGUAGCCGCAAGUUUAUGAUUUGUUUGUUACGUUAAGUUUUGUCAAGUUGAAUUUGCUGACUUUCUUAUGUUGGUAAAAAGGGGUCUGAAGCCCAUUGAAACUUUUGCUAAUUGGUGUGUGGUUUAUACUUUGUACUUGUUGAACGCUUGAGAAAUAAUUGAGUUUGUUGUGCAGGUAGAUUUCUGGGUUUUGAGCCUUUUUCAGGGAGACUUUGCUGGUUUUCAAGUAGAAGUCAAACUCUAAAGCAAUUUUCAGGAUUAGGGCAAGAAGGAUAUUUUGGUCAUUCGUGCCCGACACCUACCAAGUGUUGGACAUGCACGGGGUUCGACAUGGAUUCCAAAGUGAAAUUUGGGUCAGGUCCUUUAAAAAAGAAAUAGAUUUUUGUUUUUCUUUUGAUUUUUAGUUUUUAAUUUAUUUAUUUUUUUAUGUAACUGGACUUUUUUACCCUUAUAUUUGACGGCAAUAUUGACAAAAUGUAACGGUAUGACCAAUGUGUCGAUUAAAAAAGGGUUAGUGGACCAUUUGAACGAAUAAUUUAGUUAAGGGACCAAAAUGCAACUUGGGUAUAAGUUUGAGGACCAUUUGAGUAAAUAACCUCUACUUCAAAGGUUUUUUUUGUCAAUAUAUAAUACUUAAAAGAUUAAUAUUGUCACAAAUGACCCACUAGUGUAGUAGUUUGGAGUAAUUGCUCAAGGUUCUAAAAAAAAAAAAAAUUGCCAUUUUGAGCUUAUAAAAUUAUAUAGAAUAAUGAGGACAAAAUAGUCAUGAAAAAUGUACAUUUAAUGUUGGCUCAUUUUCCCAAACUUUCCCAUGAAGAGGGAAAACAAAACCCAUAGGGGGUGGAGGGCUUCACUUUCCCCCUACUUUUCCAUGUGCUAGACAACUGUUUCCCAUGCUUGAACUUACCAAACAGGUGAAAGCAAUUGAUUUCCCGUCCCCAAGUCUCCUUUCCCAUGAACCAAACGAGGCCUAAAAGAAUUGAGAAGGAGGUUAGAUGUCUCUCCAAGGGUCUCCCAAAAGAACUGUCUAAAUAUUGAUGCAUCUAUCUUUUGUGGAGUCCAAUACAAAAUGACUUGUGCCUAAGUUUAAAAUUUUGUAAUUUUGAAUAACUAAACUAUUUUAAAAAUAAUUUUGGGUUAUAAAUACUUUUCUUAAUACCUUUUAUUUAAGUUACAAUAAUUAUGAAUGAUCGAUAAAAUAAUUAAUUUGGAAAUUAUUUAAAAGAUUUAACUAUUCAUGGAACACAACUAAUAUACAUGCAUUUUUAUAGAGGACUACUAGCUACAUACCCUUCUUACCUUCCUUUUAUUACCUUCACCAUUCAAUUUGUGCUACGUACAUUUCACUUACACAUAAAUUUAUGUAUUUAACGUGUUCAAAAACAUAAUCAUGUACAAUAUAGUAUAUGUAUGUUCAAAUAAAAAAACCCUACCUGCAUUUUGGUCCCCUUUUUCCUUGUCGACAACCAACCGCAAGGAAGCUAAAGGGGGAGGUGGCCACUGCACCUCCUUCCCUCAGCCCAUCUUCCCAUUCUUCUCCUCAUCUCCCCUUAUUUUUCUCCCAUAUUUUUCCUUCCUCUUAUCCCAUCUUCUCCUCCCCUUCCCCUCCGUAGAUAGUCUAGAUAUGUUUGUAUGUUUGUUUUGUUUGAUUGUUUUGGCAGUGUUCUAGGUGGCUGGUGUUGUCUUUGUCGCAAUGGCGGUGACAAUAGUGAUGCUAGAUUGUGACUCUGCUCGGGAGAGUUGUGAUACUUGGUGGGUAAUGUUUUGUCUUUGUUUCAACGGCAGUCGCAGCAGCGACGCUGGUGGUAGUUGUUGGGAUAUAGUGCUCUUCUCUACUCUACUCCGAUAAAGAACUAUGCUUGGUCAUAGGAGGUUUUCUUUGUCCGGUUUUGAGUUGAAGUUGAGUGCUUCUCAAGGGUCAUUUUGGUGACGCUGGACUGUGUCUCUCCUCGGGAAAGUUGUGAUACCUGGUAGCUGAUAUUUUGUCUCUGUUUCAACGGUGGCAGCAAUAGUGACCAAAGAACUAUGCUUGGUCAUAAGAGGUUUUCUUUGUCCUGUUCUGAGUUGAAGUGGAGUGCUUCUCAGGGGUCCUUUUAUUGUUGUUUAUGUGUUCCUUUUGAGUGUGCCUUGAAGUUUGUGUGGGUGUCAAAUGACUAUGAUUUUGCUCAUAGAAGGCUUCUUUUGGCAGUUGGGAUGUUCUGCGGUCAUCUCAUGUGGGUCUACUAUGUUGGUAUAUAGUUGCGGUUCUCGUCAGAGGUCUAUGUGUUAGUUUUCAUUUUUGAUUUGUUCUUUUAUUGUAAUGGUCCAAAGUUACCUGAAUCAGACUCUCUUGUUAGUCCAUGACAUGUGUGAUACUAUUUCCUCCCCUGGAGUUUGUCCCAUGAGGUUGUCCUAGGAAAGUUAUAAUAAGGCCACUGUAUCAUGUCGUUCUUUGUACGUCUUUAGUUCUAUGAAUGAAUUCUCUUUCUUAAAAAAAAUGUGUUCAAAAACACUUUAUUCUAUUUACAAGCAGAAUAUUAGUACUUCAUAUUAAAUACAUAGCUUUAUGUGAGUGGAAUAUAAGUGGCACAAAGUGAAUGAGAAAGAAAAUAGGGAAGGUAGCUAGCAUUUCUCUAUAUCUUAAUAUUUAAGUACAUUUUGAUAAUGUUUUUAUUUUUGAAAGUUUUAAUUUAAAUUAAGUGUUGAAUUUUUUUAUUUUUAUUUUAGAGAAAAACAAUAAUUGUGUUCAUAAAUUAUACACAAAGACCAUAAGCCAUAAGGGCUAGUACAAAUAUCCGCAAAGGGGUAAUACAAAUAUGGAAGCAGAAUAACCAUGCAGUUAAUCCAAAUACAUAGAAACACAAAGGCAACAUCAAGUGCACAAGGUGUAUCUCCAUAAUAGCCUCAUAAGGCCAAAGAAAUUUCGGCAUAAAAGCCGUUGGCUUGAAUAAGCCAGACACGAAUUGCAUUGCCUAAACUACCAAUACAACUACAACUUUUAAACUCUCACAAAUAGAAACUACUAGUAGAUACUAGACAACAAACAAACACCCAGCUCACAAAGAGUUGAUGCAAUUUUUACAACUCAAGAAACUGUAAUCACUCAACUCACCAAAGAUUUCAAGGACAACAAAAUCAGAAGAGCCGGCAACGAAAUCACCAGCACAACCAAGGUGAAAAUCCAGCAAAAAAACUGAUAAACGACCCUAAGAGAGAAAUGAGGAACACAUAGGAGAGGAAGGGAGAGAGGGGAGUGGAGGGAAGGGAAGGAGAGGAGGGAAGGGUAGAGAAGGAGAGGAGAGGAGAGGAGAGGAGAGGGGAGGGAAAGGUAAGGGAAGAAAGGGGUGGGGAAGGAGGCCACCAACCUCAAAGGGGGCCGCGACUAGAGCUAAGUUCCUUAUGGUUUUUCAUAUAGAGAGAGUUCCUUAGGAUUUCUAGAGAAAAUAUUUUUUUUUUAUUAUUUUUAAAGUUGAUGUUAUAAUGAGAAGGGUAAAAUUGAUAAUGUCAUUUUUGUUGUUGUUGAAGAUGAUUAAUGACAAAUUGACAUGUGCAUAAUGUAAUUAUUUGGAUCCAAUUUAAAUAGACCAACCCCAAUUUUUGUUCAUGUGGUUGGGCUUAUUUUCCACUUUAGUGUCAUAUACUUUUGUUCAGUUAGCUAUUAAUUCUACAAACCUAACAAUGUUAAGAAAAAUAGAUGAUUUCUUUCGUCGUGAAUUCUUUCCUCUUAUGUGGUUGUUGUAUAUUAUCAUGUUGAAUUAUAUCUAAGUAAAUUUAGGUUUUACCCAUAAAAAAACUUUCACUUUUGGAAAAAGCCAAAGCUUUUUGAAAAAAGACAGAAUAACCUCUCAACUUUCAAACCAAAGACAUGCAAAUAUAAAGGAUUUCUUAGGAAAUCAAAAAAUAAAUAAGGGCAAUUUUGUCCAUUUUUGCUUGUUUUAAAAAUUUUCUCUCUCCUUUGGGCUUUUCCAAAGUCUCCCUUAUAUCUAUUAGUUUGGCGAAAUUUGUGAUUUGAAGUUGAUUGCAAGGAUAUCAAAUUGCAGAACAAAAAUUUCAAAAAUUGAAACAACGAGAACCAAAGUGAAAAACGUAUAAAUUUAAAAGGAUAAAAAUGUAAUUUGACCAUUUGAAUAACCUCAAAUAUGAAAGAGGAUGCAUGUGAAAUAGUUCAAGAUGACAUUGGGCUUAGGCGACGAGAAUUUUAUUUUUUGGGGAAAAAGAGUAGGGGUGAGAGAAAAAAGACAGAAUGAAGUUACCCACAAGAAAGGGAAAGAGCUGCGAAGUAGAGAAAACAUGAGGCUUUGGGGGACAGCGAAGCAUAUGGCAAUCAAGUACUUUGUAUAAAUACAAGGUUCAGCUCUCUCCGUGUUUAAGGCUGAGAGAGAUCCCAGUGUUCUUGUCAUAUCCCUUUAUCCUAGGCUUGCUAGCUCUCUCUUCUCUUUCUCUUCUCUGUUUCUUCAUUUCUCUUAAACAGAGAUUUCUGGCCGAAAAUUGAAGACCCAUUUAAUAUUUUUGAUCCCUGUUGGGUUUUCUUCUCAUGAAAAACAGAGAUUAAUUGCAGACAUUUAGAGACACACUAUACACAGAAGAGAGAAAAGGUACUAGUUCAUCUUCUCUCUGUGUCAGCUUGUCUUCUUACUCUGUCUAGUUUUUAUGCUUUGGUACUUGCUCCAUCAGAUCUCAUCAUAUCGUGAUGGUUAUGGUGUUGUUUUCCCCAUGUCCUUUUUCUUCUGUCAUUUCGUCAAACACAUUGUGAUCAUCUUGUUAAUGGGUUUCUUUCCUUUGCCCAUUGGAUCUGGUUUCUGACCAGACUCCCUCUUUUUCUCUUUUAAUUUCCUAUUUUUGGACGAUGGUAAUGGCACGCGGUUUUCACUUUUGUCAAAUGCUUAAUUUAUCUCCCUUUUCGAAAGAUGGGUUUCUAGUGUUGUUCUUGCUCUGUUGAUUUACUUUUUUAAGAAAUGACUGGUAAAUUCCUUUUCACAAGACGGGUGUGUGAUCUGUUUAGUCUUUUCUUUUUCUUCAUUUAUUUUCUAGUUUGAAAUGAAGGACUGGGUUCUCUGUAAUCUGCCUUUAACACUUCCUUUUGGUUUCUUGGCCCUGUUUCAGCGAAAUUUAGGUGCAUUUCUUGCUAUGCUUUUGUGGGUUUGGAUUGGAAGAAUGUGCUUGCUUUGUUUGUUUCUUGUUUAUUUUGAUAUAUCUAUGAAUCAUCAUGAUUCAGAAAGAAAGCAGCUGAUUGGCAAGCAAUAACUCUGAAUCAUGCGUAAUUACCAAAAAAAAAACUCUGAAUCAUGCGUAGAAGCUUUUCUUAAGCUUCAAGAAAAUGAUAAAAUUAUUGGAUGCUUUCUCACUUUAUUUUCCUUUUCAUUUCCAUUGUUUGUUGUAAAGAACACACUGUUUUUUUGGCCUUUUUGACUUAGUGGCGGUGAAAAAUAUAGAGAGAGGGAGAGACCGCAUCAGGGACGGCUCUGUUUGAUGCGGUUGGGCCAGUUGUCAUGUGAGAGACAUAAAAGGAUGUUGACAUGGAAAGUAGAAAGUGUCGGUAGUUGCCAUCAGAUCUUGUAGUUGAAGUGGUCUAUCUUCACUAUUCCAAUUUCACCACUUGGUCUGCAUCAUUUUGCUAUUUUUUCAACCUUUUCCCACUCCCCUUCUUUUUGAGUGAAUUGUGUAAAUAUGUUAUCCAUGAGCUGGAUCUGGAUCUAUCCAAGGAAAUUGGUUCUCACUUUUCCAGUGUGUGAUCCACAUCUUAUUUUGUGCUUCCCAUGUUUAAGAUUGAUUGAUUGGUUUGAUUUAGUUAAACAUAUGCUUUAUGCUUUUAUUGAUGUUGUUGGAUAAAUGUAGAGGAGGCUUUUAUGGAUCAGUGUCCAUUAGUUUUUUAUUUUUUAAAAGAAUUUGUGAGGUCCAUCCAAUUAACUGGAUGUGGGCAAUAAUCGCAGGGCAUUUCAAGAUAAAUGGAUGUGAAGUUAAGAUUAAUGAAUUUAGUACUCUUUUCACUUCUUUGAUUUCUGAUGCUUUAGUUUGAUAUAUGGGAUGGCAUGGGGAAAGAAAGAAACACUUGUGACCAGUCUGGUUUAAGUGGCUGCUUUAAGUUUCCUAGUGUUUUGUACUUUAACUACUUCCUAGUACUACUUCACGGGAACAAAAUUUUCUCACCUUUUUAUGGUGAAUGGUGCUCGGUAGCAGAUCGGCAUUAUUAAAAAUCUGUGUUCACCUACAAUUAUGAAGAUAUAUAAUAUGCCUUGUAUCAGUGCAGAUAGGUAAUUCUUUCUGAGAUCAUGAAGCAUAAAGAUGGAAAACCAGGACCCCAAGGUACCAGGGUUUUCCCCAUGGCAAUCUUGUUUGUUGUGCUAUGCGGGUUUUCAUUCUAUCUUGGUGGAAUCUUCUGUUCUGAGAGGAACAGAAUUGAGCCUUCUGAUGUCAAAGAUGUCACAAAGGCAGUUCGAUCAUCCAAGGAGUCACUUGUGGCCCCUCUCCAAAUAAAAACUGUUUCCUUUGCUGAAUGCAGCAGUGACUAUCAAGACUACACCCCAUGCACAGAUCCAAGGGUAUCUCCUUAAUCAUUGAUCAUAUGGUACUUUUUGCUUUUUGGAAUUUGGGAACCACUAGAUGUUUAUCAAAUUGUGUUGAAAAUGAUGCAUGCUUGUUGUACAGAGGUGGAAAAAAUAUGGUGUUCAUCGGCUUACUUUCAUGGAACGCCACUGCCCUCCAGUAUUUGAAAGGAAAGAGUGCUUAGUUCCACCUCCAGAUGGGUAUAAGCUACCAAUCAGAUGGCCAAAUAGCAGGGAUGAAUGUUGGUACAGGUAAAUAGUUUAAUAGUUUGUUUCUGAUAUGUGUGGUCAAAAUUCCAGUUUUAAGUUUCUACUUGUUUCAUGGAGGAAAAAAAAAAAAAACGGAAGAGUUUCUCUGAGUAUACCUUGUGGAUCUGGUUUCAGGAAUGUGCCAUAUGAUUGGAUUAACAAGCAGAAAUCUAAUCAGAAUUGGCUAAGAAAAGAAGGGGAGAAGUUUCUCUUUCCUGGUGGAGGAACUAUGUUUCCUAGAGGUGUAUCUGCAUAUGUCUAUUUGAUGCAAGAUCUUAUUCCAGAAAUGAAAGAUGGGACUGUUCGAACUGCCAUUGAUACUGGGUGUGGGGUGAGUCCAAUUUAAAUCUUCUUUUGCAUUUUCCAACAUUUACAAUGGUAAAUAUAAAUGAAAAUUUCUGGUGGGUGAAAGCAUAAUUUAUUCUAUUGGGAGGGUGUGCUUAUGUUAGCAUAAUUUAGUCAAAAUGCUUGUUGAAAUUUGAUUUGUAGCUUUCUUUUUUCAUGGUUAUGAUUUUUAAUUUUGUAAUACUCUAUUUCUUUAUUGUUCUUAAAGCAGCAUUAACAGUUUACAGGGUUUGAAAUUUUAUAAUAAAAUUUAAUGUUCCUUCUGAAUAAUUAAAUUUGUUUGAAGUUACAUCAGUUCAUCUCUUUAAUUUACUAAUUUUUAGGUUGCAAGUUGGGGAGGUGAUUUGCUAGAUCGGGGGAUUUUAACAGUUUCUCUCGCCCCAAGAGAUAAUCAUGAAGCUCAAGUUCAGUUUGCCUUGGAACGUGGAAUUCCAGCAAUCCUUGGCAUCAUUUCUACACAGAGGCUUCCUUUCCCCUCAAACUCGUUUGAUAUGGCUCACUGCUCAAGGUGCCUCAUCCCAUGGACGGAAUUUGGUAAUUCAUCUAUUAAAUUCUUAAAAAAAUCUUUCAAUCCUAGAGAAUAUAAUUCGGUUUAUAGAUCUUGAUGUCCAGCUGCUGAAACCAGUUUCAAAUAAUAUCUUGAAAUAACAUAGUGCUGCAUUGCAUUUUGCCCUCUAGCUCAGCCAUAUGAAAUGUAUGCAUGUAUAGAACUUUUCCGUUAGUGUAUAUAAGUAUUAGGAUAUGUGUAGUUUUCACUAGUUCUCUUUGAAUUUGGAGAUUUUUUUUUUCUUUUUUUUUUCCUCUCAAACUACCUUAGACAACUUCUAGCUACAAAGUUCCUGUGUUCCAAUUAUAAUUUUUAAUGAAAAAUUCCCUGGAUCGCUUGUGAACUUUAUAUUAUUGCCAUAAGAUUGGAACUUCCUCUCUUCCCUUGUAGAAUAUCAUAGAAUGGAAAUUUCUUUUUCCUCCUCUCUUUAUCUUCUUUUUUAUUUUUCUAGUUUUGGGGUUGGGGUUACCACUUGUCUUAAUGGCUACUAUCCUGCUUUCAGGCGGAAUUUACCUUCUUGAAAUUCAUCGUAUACUCCGCCCUGGAGGUUUCUGGGUCCUGUCUGGUCCACCUGUCAACUAUGAAAACCGCUGGCGUGGAUGGAACACAACCAUAGAAGAGCAGAAAUCAGAUUAUGACAAGUUGCAAGAACUGCUAACUUCAUUGUGCUUCAAAUUGUAUAACAAAAAGGAUGAUAUCGCUGUUUGGAAGAAAUUGUCAGAUGAUAGUUGCUACAAUAAACUUAAUGAGCCAGAUGUCUAUCCUCCGAAGUGUGAUGAUAGCCUUGAACCAGACUCAGGAUGGUACACGCCAUUACGCUCUUGUGUUGUCGUUCCUGACCCAAAGCUAAAAAAGUCAGCUUUGAAAUCCAUCCCUAGAUGGCCAGAGCGAUUGCAUGUUGCACCAGAUCGUAUUUCCGAUGUGCAUGGUGGGAGUGCUAGUGCUUUUAAGCAUGAUGACAGCAAGUGGAGGGUACGAUUGAAGCACUACAAGAAGUUGCUCCCAGCAAUUGGGACAGAUAAGAUCAGAAAUGUUAUGGACAUGAACACAGUAUAUGGAGGUUUUGCUGCGGGGAUGAUUGAUUAUCCUUUGUGGGUCAUGAAUGUGGUCUCUUCCUAUGCUGCAAAUACACUGCCAGUGGUCUAUGAUCGGGGCCUUAUUGGAACUUACCAUGAUUGGUAAACUUUACUUCAUUCAUUUUCAUUGAAGCUUUGAUCUGUACGAAUAGCCUGCUUUUGAUGCACUUUCCAUGUGGUCAUUAUUAUGAAAUCUACUGGUCUUUUGUUGAUUUAUUUGUUUUCUCCUUUUGCAGGUGUGAAGCUUUUUCUACAUAUCCCCGAACUUAUGAUCUUCUACAUCUUGAUGGCCUCUUUACUGCAGAAAGCCACAGGUAAAAAAUGAGCCUCCAUGCAUCUUUUCUUUAGUGUGGGGCACAUCAAAUAUCUUGAAAGCGGAUAUUAAUUUGGCAUAUUGAACUAGUUAGUUAAUCUUAGAAGUUAGGUUCUCUAUGCACCUUUGUGUAAUUCGACAUGGCGGAUAACCUAGGAAGUACACACACACAGAGUUAUGAAUUCAACAGUAUAAAUGGUUCUAAUGAUGAUAGUGUUUUGGGCAGAUGCGAAAUGAAAUAUGUACUCCUAGAGAUGGACCGAAUCCUGCGCCCCAACGGGUAUGCAAUAGUUCGAGAAUCCAGCUACUUUGUGGAUGCUGUUGCGACUAUUGCCAAAGGCAUGAGAUGGGGUUGUCGCAAAGAAGAUACUGAGUAUGGUAUAGGGAAGGAGAAAGUAUUGAUAUGUCAGAAAAAACUCUGGUACUCAUCGAAUCGGACUUCUAGAUGAUGAACAUAGAAGAAACCCAAACCAAGUUUGAUCUCUUGGAGGGCUGGAAAUAGGGUUAGAAGCAAGUUCAAUACCAUUCACAGAGAAUUAGUUCACUUCAUUCUAUAAGAAGCCAAGAAUAUUCAAAUUUUAUCAUGAAGACUCAGUUACCCAAUAAGGUGCUUUCGUUAACAUAUAGGAUUUGCGUAUAGAUAUAUUUUUUUUAAGGUGUCAACAUGUACUUGGUAUAAUUUCCCUUUCCUCUUUUUCUUUUUCCAUUUUUUUUUUCUUUUCAUGCCAAGCUGUAAUAGAAUGAUUUGGAAAUUUGUUUGUAAGGGGUUUAUAUGUACCAAAAAAUGAAACAGCAACGGGUUUAAAAAUUAAGACCCUGACAGCUUGUUAUUGUUUUAGAAUCUUAAAUGAACUUUGCAUUUGUUUUAUGCAGUGACGCGCUGCAAUUUUAGUUCUUUGUUAUUGGUGCUCAUUAGUAUAUGUUUCUUUGAAUACAAGCGAUAGUCUAAAUUACAAUGAGAGGGGGCCUUUCCACACACACUACUUUUAGCACAUGGUUUGAGAUAAUCUAAUUAACUCAAUUUUUAUUUUAGAUUUAUCGUGAUAAAUCAUUUUCCAUUAUGCUUUUAUCCCAAAUCAUUCCUAAAGAAUGUUUUAGCCAUUACUAUUUGAAGAGGUAAUACAAUGUCAUUUCCAAGAUUGGUAUGUCAUCUACAUAAAAUACUAGGAAUAUGACUCAACUCCCACUAAUCUUCUUGUAAUAGAAGAGAUUCAUUCAUAUCUUUGAAAAGACUUAAACUCUUGACUUUCUUGUCAAAGUCAAUGUUUCUAACUCGCACUAGCUUACUUAAGUUCAUUGAUGGACAACUAUAGCUUAUACACUUUGUGAUUUGAACCUUGGGCCAUUUCAUAAAAGUCGUUUUGUGCAUAUCUUUGAAAAGACUCAAACUCUUUUCACUUUCUUAUCAAAGUCAAUGUUUCUAGCUCCCACUAGCUUGCUUAAGUUCAUUGAUGGACAACUAUAGCUUAUACACCUUGUGAUUUGAACCUUGAGCCAUUUCAUAAAAGUCGUUUUGUGUUUCCUUUUGUUCAAAACUCACAAUUCAAGUAUGUAGCUAUGGCAAGCAAUAUCUGAAUAGUUACAAGUGAGAAGGUUUCUUCAUUGUCAACCAUUUUUCACAUUAUUGUAAUCCUCAUGAUACUACCUUAGCCUCAUAGUUUUCUAUCUUGCCCUUCAAGCCUAUCUUCCUCUUGAAGACCAUUUGGAGCCAAUAGGUACGAUACCUUGUGACGGGUCAACUAGACUCAAAACUUGCUUGGCAUGCAUAGAAUCCAAUUUGGAUUUUUAUGGUUUAAGGCCAUUUAAUAUGAGUAGAUGCCAUACAUUUCCUCAUGGUAGUUAGAAUGAUCUCCCCAUUUCUAAGAUGGUUCUUGGAUCCAAUUCGAACUACGUGGAGCUUUUCUAGGAACUAAGUUGUCACUUGAAUGUUGAUUUGUGGUUUCCUAUAUUAAGCUAGUCCUCUUUCAAGGAAUAUAGCGUGCGAUUCGAGAAACAACAAUUGCUUGUCGAUUGAUAGAUGUAAUGUCAUAAAGUUUCCUUUAGACAUUCCACAAAUCUAUUUUACCCCUUUGAUAUCUAUGACAACCUCAAAUAUUAACAUUAUUAAGAUUCAGUUUUCAUUACAACUACAUCUUAUGAAGUCUUUGGAAAGUACUAGGUUUGGCAAGUAUGUUGCCAUUAACCGCGCUUAUCCUAAUAUCAAUUUAAUCAUUAUGGAAAGAACCAAAAUCAUUCAGAUUUGAUUUCUCGUUAGGAGACUUCCAUUAUGAUGUGAUGCCAUGUUCCUAUAUAUUUAAGGAACGUUUAUCUUCUAAUUUUCCUUUCUUUGAUCAAAUACUAUUGACAUUAUGCUUCUCUUUUAUACAUUCUUGAAUACUUUAAAACUAUUUCAAAGAAUUCAAACUUGUGUUUUAUGAGAUACAAAUAGUCCAACCAAGAGUGAUCAUAGGUGAAUGCUAUAAAAUGAGAGAAGCCUUUUGAGGUGUUACCCUUUUAGUAGGGUAAACCCUCUCUUAGACCUUUUGGUUCUUUAAGGCAUCAUUGUUUCUAAACAGCCAUUCUAUCAUUCAUUUCUUAAAAGAAAAGAGGCCACUAUCGGAUUGUAGCAAUCCAAUUACUUGUUAAUGAAGAACAAUGUAAUUUUGUCAAACAAAACAACUGUAUAGUGCCCUCAAAGACAAACAACAUAGCCACAAGACAUCUAUGAUGUCUUAUGUCUAAGGAUUGGUUUGAGCCUUUUAGUUUUAGUUUGGCAUGUGAGUAAAGACUCCCAUUCUAGAACUCAUGCAUUUGAUCGCGUUGCGUGUACUUGUUCUCCUGCAAGCACUUACACACAUAUCUUGGUGUCGACACACUUAAUGACUUGAGACCGCAUCAUUCUCUACAUAUAGAGAAGAUACUGUGUGUACUGGUCUUGGCAGAAUAUCAAUGCCCAAUUGAUACUUCUAUGACCAGGAACAUAUUUAGAAUUAGGGAUUAUGAUAAGUCUAAAUGUAUGUAAUCUCAUUACAUAGUUCUCAUAUCUACUUAUAUAUUCUUAAGACUAUAGUUGUUUUACUGUUAUGAUAAUAGACCUAUUAUCGUGGUUGAAAACAACUAGUCUUGCCCUUGAAUAACUUAAUAAGUUAUUAUAAAAGAUGUCAUUACUAUGAAUUAUCACAUAAUUAGUUGAUUUUAAGGGCAUACUACUAACAACCUUUGCAAGACUUAAAACCUUGAGGAGAAAGAUGAGCUAAAUGGUGAAUAUAUAGAACACAUGGGAGAACCCUAGGGUUCUCAUUCUCUCUCCAAAAUUUCGGCACAGGGCGGGGUGGGCCUUCUCUUGGGCCUCUUGGUCCAACUUAUCCCACUUUAAGACCCAUGGGCCUUUAGUUUCUCAAACCAUUUUAAGACCCAUUCUAUUUCAACCUAAUUAAUUAACUCUUUAAUUAAUUUUCUCUCUAAUAAAUUAAUAUAAUUAAUUGCCUUCACCAUUGAUCUUGUUAUCUUUCAUUAUUUAUCCAAAUUAUAAGCUUAUGGGUGUGUGAUCCAUUGAGUUCUAAUUAGUGAGGUCGUGGGUGAUUAUGAACUCUUUAUUUUAUCGAUUGUGAAUUACAACUCCUUUUUUAAUUCUCCCUUUAUGAGGACCCAUUUAAGGAAUAUCCUCAGGGCUUGCACAAACUGUGAGUGACGUUUAGCAACAUAUCACAGUUACUCGAGCUAAUCUAUAAUAUAUUAGGAUCAGGGUCGACCUUGACUUUUGGGUGGCCCUAGGCGAUAAACUAAAUGAGGCCCCUUCCCUUAGUAUACAAUUGCAAAAAAAUAACAAAUAAAAUGAUUUUAUGUAGCGCGUAGAGCGCUUGAAUAAAAAAGAUAGUAUGCAUUAUAAUAGGACAUAUCUCCAUAAAAAAUAAAAAAAACAUUCCAGCAACCAACAAUGGGAACAUGUCCAUGAAAUUGAUAAUUUGUAUUCUCAAAAAAUACAUUAAAACUAAGCAUUUGUUCAAAAUACUAAACCCUUUCCCUUAAGAUUGGCUUCUGGCUUUAGGCUUCAUCACAUGAGUUUAAGUGCAAAAUCCUCUUUGUGAUAUGUAGAAAGAAUCAUACAACAUAAGAAAAGUAACAAAUGGUAGCACAAAUGGACAAAGAAAUUACAAUAAGUAGCAACAUACAUAUUUUUGAAGACAUAAAACUGAAAACAAAGAAAGUAGGACACAAAACGCCCACUAAAAGUAACUUACAAAUGUCUUCAACUAAAAGAAACUACAAUAAGUAACUUAGCAUACAUUACGAUAAACAAUUAUAGAGCAUAAUCCUACCUGGUCAAUUAUAAAGCAGAGUCUAAGUCUCUUAAAAGCAAAGUCAUUGUCUGUGUAUAAUCUGGAUCACAAAAGCAGCUUUGAAAAAAUAUAUGAAAUGGUUGUGGCAAAUUUGGAAGGGUCCAAAAUCUGCCUGGAGCCUACUUCCUCCCGAACAAGCAGCCAAUAAGAGAUCCACCCUAUUACAAUGUGCAAAUAUCCGAUGCUUUCCCUUUACCAAAAUACACAAAUAGCUGCUUGAUUUCCUCUACACCAUAUACAAUCCAAAAAAUAAAAAACAAUAACAUUAAAAGUACAAUCAAUCACUGAAAAAUCCUUGAUCUUCUAGCAUUUUGAGAAGCAAAAUCUUCAAUAACAUCUUCAAAAUCAAGCUUUUCCAACAUAUUCUUUUCAAUGCAUAAGAUUCCUAAUCCAUCCAACCUUUCUUGUGACAUAGUUGAACUCAAGUAAGAUUUUAUUAAUUUUAAUUUUGAAAAACUUCUUUCUGCAGAUGCCACAGUCAAUUCCAUAAGCAACUGAGACAUUUGAAAAGCAAUUUACAGAUUUUACAUAAUCAAGAACUUGAAUGACUGUCUUUGCCACUUGUGGUAAAUACAAUCAUAAAACUUCCAAUUCAUAAAACAAAUCAUCAGCAUUAAUAUCAGAUUCAUUGCCAUGUGUUAAAGCAUCUUCAAGAUUAACAAAACAUUCAUGCAACAUUUGAUAAUUCAUUACAUAAUACUUUUUAGGAUUCAACAAAAAAACUAAAAAAACCUUCAAAUAUUUCUAAUUGUUCAAAUCUACUCCUCAAAGAAGAAAUAGCAGCAUCAACCACAACAAGAAAAUAAUUAACCCUACAAGAUUCUUUUGCAGAUUGAAAAGUCUCUUCAUGAUCAUUUUCAUCAAAUUGUUUUCUCCUACGACUUUGACGUUUUUCAUGAAAUGUUGGGUUAAUUUCCAUCUUAGAUGUAAUAUCUUUGGCAUAAAGUAAGGCAGAUGUGAACCCAUUUUUUCUGUGGUCUUCAAAAUAAGAAAGAAGCCCCUUCAAAUUUUUUAUUGCAACAUCAGUUUGCAUAUCUCCAUAUUGCAAUUUUUGGCUAACUAAGUCAAUUUUUUUUCAAAAUGUUAUGCCAUAUAGUCAUGCUCAACAAAAAUUCAAAACUUUCAAGUUCAUGUGUUGCUAAAGAUUCAGCUUCACUCUUUGUUUUGGCAUCUUCACAGACUCUAGACAAUACAAACAAAGCUUCUCUUAUAUCAUCAGUUUGGGUUAUUAUGGCUCUUAGGGUUAUUAUGGCUCUGACACUAUUAAUAUGACUUCCCAUCUUGUUGUUGAUAAUGGUUUAAGAGUUAAUCCAUGGACAUGAUUUGGAAAAAAUUUCCAUCUGUUUGUAGAACUAGCAAAUAGAGUAUACAUGUGUUGCACAACUCCAAAAAAUGACACAGCUUUAACACUUGAGUUUGCCAUAUCACAAACUGUUAAAUUAAGAGACUGACACGCACAUGGCAUGUAAAAUGCCCUAGGAUUUAUUUCAAGAAGCCUCUUUUGCACACCAUUGCUUUUCCCCUUCAUGUUAGAUCUAUUAUCAUAACCUUGGUCCCUUAUAUUAUUAAUAUCAAGUUUAAGAGAUUGUAAUACAGCUUGUAACUCAUUAAGAAGCCCAAAUCCAGAUGUAUCAUUCACUAUCAAGAACUUUAAAAAAUACUCUUCUACCUUUAUUGGAACAUUUGACAUAUCUACACAUCGAAUUAUUAAAGUCAUUUGCUCAUGGUGACUUGCAUAUGGAGUACAAUCAAGUAUUACGGAAAAAUAUUUUGCCUCUUUGAUUUUUUCAGUUAUAGCACUUCUAACUUUAGAGCCUAGCAUACCAAUCAACUCAUUUUGAAUUUUAUGGCUAAGAUAGUGAUAAUGAAUCUCAUUAUUUUGAAUACAUCUAAAUGCUCUUUCAUUACCAAAUCAAAUUCUGCAAUCAAUUCAAGCAGCCCCAAAAAGUUACCAUUAUUAUCUGGGUAAAUUUUCUCAUUCUCUCCACGAAAAGCUAAACUUCUUUUAGCAAGACAUCUCACAACAGAAAUUAUUCUUACUAAAACUAGUUUCCAAUAUUCUUUCUCUUUUUUAAUUUGCAUUUGUAUGUCUUUAUCAAUUGUUUCAUUCUUUUUCAAUCUAAUUUGCAAAUCAAUCCAAGUUCUUAUGUUAGUGAUAUGCUCAAUACUAUUCUCAUGUAAAGGGAGUGGUCCCUUUGUUGUUGGCUCUCCCUUUGAUAUUGAUUCUCCACCUUGUAGCUCUCCAAAUAGGAACAAAGAUAUGCACCUCCCCAAAGCUCUUCACCAAAGAUUGAAUGAGAUGAGAGAAUGAAUAGACAACAAGUGAAGAGUUGUGCUAGCACCCUCACUUGAUGUGAUAGAUUCAAAGGGUUAGGGAGAGAGAGCUUGAUGUUUUCUAUCUUCCAAUUUCACCAACUUGAAAACCCUUUGAUGAUAGGAUACCACAGCUACACACUUAUAAGAUCAAAAAUGUCACAAUAGUGACAAAAAUACCCCCAUGCCCUAGUGUAGCCGCACCCUCCCUUUGGGUGUCAUCUUUGUGCUGUCUUGGUCCAACACAUUAAUCCUAUAAUGUGUCACAUAUGUGCCUAAGUCCAUAUGGUAAAAUCUCUUUUGAAUUUUCAAAUCAUAUGGGGCCUUUAAUUAAAAUUUCAUAACUUUAAUUGAAUAAUUAAAUUAAUCUAAUCAAUUUAAUUACUCCAAUGACUUGACUAAUUCAAUCACUCACUUGUCUAACGAGUGUUGGUCCCGGUCAUCCUUAGUUGACCGUGUCAAGUGUCGGGUCAACUGUUUGACCUUUGACCUUUGACUUUCACAUUUACUUUGACCAAGUCACAAAAUCAUUCAUUCUCUUUUUAAUUUUCCAAUCAAUUCCUUUUCUGUGUGCAAUCUUAUAGGUUCUAAUUAGCGAGGCAGUGGGUAUGAAUGAUUCACUCUGAAUCAAGUAUGAAUUAUAUCUCUCCAUACAAUUCUCCCCAUUGGCGAAGGCUAAUUAUAAUUAGUCUUUACAGGGCUUCCACAAGCCAUGAGUGCACCUAGAAGUAUAUCAUGGCUACCCAAGCUAAAAAGAAUUCAUUUAGAGAACCUAGUCAGUUUGUGAUUACAAUGCAAUUCGAUCCUUCUCUAAUUCAAUACUCUAUGUCAUAUUCUCGGGAUAUGGUAAACUUGUGUCAAAAUCCCUAAUAUGACAUCUCUAGAUUAUAUGAUUCAAUUUGAUGAAAUUGCAAACGUUCUUGUCUUAAUUUCCAUCAUAUACUUUGGCCAAAGAUUCUCGAAUCAUAUGUUUAGAGUAUUCUCUCUUUUUACUAAGAGCAGAGAUUCCUUAUUGUACAUUCACCUGUCUCUGCAUACAUGCUGAGAAUCCUGAGGAAUACCUCUAAGUCACAUUAUUUUGAUACGACCGUAUGGUGCUCUCACAGAGAAACAACAUAUAUACAAGACAACUAUAAUGUCUCAGGUCUAAGGAUUAAUUUGCAUUAUCACAACUUAGAAUUCUUUGUUUGACAUUUGUGAGUAAGACUUCCAUACAAGAAUUCCAGAGUUGAUCGCGUUCAGUGAACUCCAUCUUCUAUAGAGCACCCACACAUCUGUCUCAGUAUCUCUACACGAAUGAGUUGAGACUAGCCAUCCUCCCAAUUGAGCAGACAUAAUGUGUACCAGUCUUUACGGGUCACCAUUGUCCAAUUGGUAAUCCUAUGAACAAAAACAGGAUACAAUAUUUAUAUGUUUGGAAAGGUCUCGUGUAUCUAACUUCUUUAGACCACUUUUCAUUUAUAUCUUAAUCCAUGGACUUGUUACUUUGUGUACGUUAUGUAUCUAAAACAACGUUCUUGCCCCUUUGAUUAUAUAUAUAUAUAUUAUUUCCUUAGAAUUAUCCAUUUUUAUAUUGGCUUCUAGAGCAUAUAUCUAACAAAAUUCGGGGCGGGUCCUGUCAUAGGUGUACUCAAGUAUGUGGUUGAUUGUACUCUCAUUGAGUCAAUGCAUUAUUAGCUUUACUUGUAUUUGUCCAAAACUUCAUGGAGGCUCUCUCACACUCUUAUAGCAUGCAUCGUUUUGGCAAAGAUAAAAGUUGGGUUCGUAUUUGGCAUCCUUAUUUUCAAGGUUUACGCGUUGCUUUAAGACUCACUCUUGUAGCACGAUGCCCUAACAUAUCAUAUAUGUUUAGGCAUAUAUUAAACCCAUUUAAGAUGUGACAACUUCACUAUAUUUCCUUUUGAAUCAUUGUCUAAGCAUAGAUCCAAUGUUGAUUUGCUAGAUUACUUCAAUAAUUUUUAGCUUGGAGUUUGCUACUCCUGGGAACUGAUAAUUUAAGACAAAUGAACUAUCGUUCAAAAUCAGUUUGCCUAAUUCAACUAAUCUAAGACUUGAAGCCAGUGUUAUGAAAGAUCUUGGGGCCAGACUAUAACACAGUCAAGUUAUCCAUUUAACUCAACAACUUAGACUUACUCUUAAGUCUCAUGGUUUCACCAUAGGCGUGCGUUCAAUCAAUCCUACAUUUUUAAUAUAAAAGGUCCAUACUUUCAAUUGAAUUGCAUCUCUUAUGGAUUUUGGAGUUCUUAAUUGGAAGACGCUUGGUCAUGGUAAAAUGUUUAUCCCUUAAGCAAGUGUGCAUCCUCAAAUAGGAUAUAUAUAGGCAUAUAUGUGUUAAUCAUUUAUAAGAUACAUCACAUCAUUAUGUAUGUUUGUUUUCCAAAUAUGUCUCUACGUAAUAUCAAACUAUCGUUUUGAUAUGAUGCCAUUCCCUUUGAUUUUAUUCAAAGAAAAUCUUAAAGUAAUAAAUCUCAUUCUAUGUGAGACAAAGUUCUAGAACGAUGAUGUAUUCAUCUUAUUGCACUCUUGAAUUCUCCAUAUUCCUUUGAAGCAAUUCAUUUUAAACGAGAGUGAUCUCGGUAGUGUAAUAAGAGUGGUUCUCUAAUCCACAGAUGAAUAUAAUUCAUACUUUCAAUUUAACUAUAAUCCAUAGUGAUUCUUCUAGCAAGCCUCCUUAUCUCCGUCUUCACACAUGAAUGACUCGAGACUAGUCAUCCUUCUAUUUGAGCAGAUAUAGUGUGUACCGGUCUUUGCGGUUCAUCAAUGCCCAAUUGAACGAUCCUAUGACCGGGAAUAUUUUUUGUUCGAGUUAUAGGAAAAUUUCCAUUUGCAUCUAACCUCUUUAGAUCACUUUCCUUAUCUCAUAAAUUCAUGGACUUGUCAAAUAGGUCAAUAGUCAUGCGUGGACCGUCACCUCUGUUGACAUAUUUGCCUUUUUGUGUAAACCUAAAUAAUUGGUUUAAAUGAAGUUUUCAUGAAAAAUUUCAUCUAAUGAUUAGCUUUCAGGGUAUACUUCUAAUAGUUACCACCUAGACUUUUAAUUUUAACUAUUAACCACCUUAAUUUUGUAAGUGUUACAAUUAACCACCUAUGUCUAACUCCAUUAAAAUUUUCGUUAAGUCAAGUUGUAUGUAAUAUUUUUUGAAAUGCAAUUUUGUCAAUUCACUAUAACUAAAUAAUAAAAAAUAAAAAACCUAACCUAAUUAUCCGAGGACCUUCCACAAUCCCUUCUAACACUGUUCUCCCCCACUGCCCAGCAACCCCCUCCCCACCCUCUGCAUAUAUAACUCCCCUCCCUACACCAUAUAUAUCUCUCUCUCCACCGAAUUCAAUGUUAACAUGGUUAUGCAGGAGUUUCUAUUUUGAAAAUUUUGUUAUAUCCCCAAAGACUUCAAUAAAUUAGUCCGUAAGACUGCUAACCACACGCAAACACUAUUGUACAACCAACAUAUCUGUACCUUGAUAGAGCUGCCAAGUUGUUCAUCAAUGUGGUAAGGAUUUGAUCUUAUGAAUAGAUUUAGGGCUUAGAUGUAUAUGGUAAUUACUUGACUUAACGAAAAUUUUAACGGAGUUAGGUGUAGGUGGUAAAGUGCAAUACUUUAUAAAGUUCAGGUAGUUAAUAGUAAAGAUUAAAAGUUUAGGUGAUAACUGUGCACGUGCCUAAAGUUCAAGUGGUAUUUAUGCAAAUUUUCCUUUUUUAUUUUUAUUUUCAGUUUCAGUUUUUUAAUUCUUAACGGGUGAAACGGGUCGUGUCGUGUUAUUCGCGAAUUAUAGAGAUGAUAUAUCACAAAAGAAAGUUUUAAUGUAUCUACUCAUGGUUCUGAGCUAUUGGAUCAAUUAUGCGUGCCCUCGGGAAAGAUGAUAUGUGGUUUGUGUUCGCGGUAAAGGGUGGGGUUUAGCGAUUGAAGGUUGUGUUAACAAAUUUUGGUUUGAGAGAGAGAGAGAGAGAGAGAGAGAGAGAGAGAGAGAGAGAGAGAGAGAGAGGAAUGAGAUGGUGUAGGUGGAGGAGAGAUCGCAAGGAGGUCGCUGGGGGCUAAGUGGGUUGGUGCGGCUUGGUUGAGGUUGCGGUUGGUAGUUUUUUUGGUCUACUUUAUUGCUUUUUUUUAGGACAAACUACAGUAAAUCCCCCAACCUAUAGGGUCAUUUACAAGUUCAUACCCGAUUUUAGGGACAUUUACCAGUACAUACUCAAUGUCACGGAAAACCUACAAAAUGUCAUAUUCGUUAGCCAAACCGUUAGUUAAUCUGUUAUAUGCUGAUGUGGCAUUUUUGGGACCCGUUUUUUAACUGAGAUGGACUCCACAUAAGAAAUAAAAUUAAUAAAAUAAAAGAGAAAACAUUUUUAAAAAAAUCUAAAAACCCACAACCAAAAAAAAAAAAAGAAAAAAAGAAAACCCAUCUUCUUCAUCUCCAACAGACUUCACAAUUUUCUCAACCUCUCUGCAAACCUUCUCUUCCCCCUUCACUUACCCCAUUUUCUUUACUCUUUGUGUGAGAGUAAUUUAUCGAAGAGUUACAAGAACCAAAUGGAGAAGAAAUUGAUCGAGAUUUUGAUAUGGGUUUCGGACAGUGCUUCUUAUCGGGGUUCUAUUUGGAUGGUGAGAAAAUUACCUUUUUUCGGAGAAGAGUUCGAGGAAUUCGAAGGAGAUGAAAUUGACCAAUGUUUCGGUUUCGCCUUCGAACUUUUUUUUUCCUCUUUCUCACUGAAAUUCUGAGGGAUUCAAAAGUGAUGGGACAUAUCUAGAUGCUACAGGGUCAGUUCCUCUCUCUCCCUCUCUCUCUCUCACUCUUCAAAACCCUUCUUUCUUUCUUUCUGGAACCAAAACUAGAAUGAUUGCUUGAAUUUUGGUUGAAUUAAAAUAACCAGAUCAAUUUUUAUUUAUUUAUUAUGAUUUUCCUUGUUGGGUCUGUUCAGUUAUGAAUCCAUUUUCCUAGCUCAAGUGCUCAUGUUUGGCUGCAACGUGAAACUAGAGAAAGCACAGUAACCAAAUCAGGUUUCUCACCAGCUGCUUCCAAAGCAUGAAACAAUCUCAGCGCCUCAUUCAAAUCUCCUUUAUCAGCAUACCCACUGAUCAUAGGAGUCCAUGAAACACAAGUUCUAUUUGACAUGCCAUCAAAUAAAAAUCUAGAAGAAAGUAUAUCACCACACUUGGAAUACAUUGAUAUAAGGGCAUCGACAACAAAAAUGUCAGAAUCACAGCCCAUUUGAAUUCCAUGAUAAUGAAUCAGCACAACCUGUAGCAAUUUAUCAGGUUGGCAUGGGGGCGCAGGUGCUGGGUUUGGGGGUGUAGUUGGUGAUGGCUGAGGGGUUUAGUCGGGAUUCAUGUUGUGGGUUGAGUUGGGUCGGAGAAGGUGGCAGGAGGAGAGAGAGGAUGACGGUUGAGAAUGGAGGGGGAUAUCGGAGAAGAUGGGUUUUUUCUGUUUGUUUUAGGCUGCCAUGGGGGUCUUGAGCGAGGUUGCGAAGGGGAGGAUGGUGGGUUCUUCUGGGUUUGUUUGUUUGUUUUGUAUUUAAAUUAUUCAAUUUAAAAAUAAUUUUAAUGAUUUAAAAUUAUUUUUGAAAAGUAUAUAAUUUUUUAUUAAUUUUUUUGUCCACCUGUAAGUCCACAUCAUUAAAAAAUGGAAUUCACAUUCGCCACGUUAGCAUUUAAUAGAUUCACUAACGGUUUGACUAAUGAAUGGGCCAUUUGUAGGUUUUCCGUGACGUUGAGUAUGUACUAGUAAAUGUCCCUAAGAUCAGGUAUGAACUCAUAAAUAACCCUAUAAGUUGGGGGGGUUUACUGUAGUUUGUCCUUUUUUUUAAACGUUUUCUGGUAAUUUAAUACGUAAUGAACUUUUUUUAUUAAUUUUAAAGUCUACAUGGACUCCACCUCAAAGCAAAAAAUGAGGCCCACAUUUGUCACAUCAUAAUUUAACAGAUUUAUUAACAACUUGUGUAAUGGAGGGUGUCAUUUAUAGGGUUUUUGCAAGUUUCGAUACUCAAUUGAAGGGUCUUCAAAGGUGAGGUAUGAAUUUGUAAUGAUCCUUAUAGGUUGGGGGGUUUUAUAUAGUUGAUCCAAUAAUAUAUUAUAUAUGUUCAAAGUGAGACGAUACAACUUUUGUCUUUGAAGAGUUGCAACUUUUGACUCUUCAAAAAUAUACACAUCUUUUCAAAUAGUCACUUGCACAUUUAUAGAGAACCUAUUGCAUCUACAUCUCACUUGGAGAUAUAAUUCAAUUCAUUCAAAGCAUUUAUUAGUCACUUGCGUUAUAGUAUGGAGUUCUUAGUAUGAGAGAAUGUUCAAUAUAAUCGUGGUUAGUUAGGUUCUUAUAAUUUGUAGUGUUACAAUCAUAAGCAUGAGGUCGUUGCAUCUUGGGAGACCAGUAUCGUUCAACCCAAGAGUACUGAAGUGGGACGUAAAUUGUCUUAAAGACAGAAUGCUAAGCAUUCACCUCGACCAAUUUUUUAGGUGAUUCUAAACUAAUUUAUAUGUAUAUUCAGCAUUGGUGUUGUUCAUGUUAUAUAUAUAUAUAUAUAUAUAUAUAUAUAUUAAAUUUGUAUAUUUAAUUGCAUGUUUAUUUCUAAAUUUCUUUGUUUAAAUAUAGCAAUCAGACCCUUUAUUUCCUACAUUAAAUGGGCAAAGGAAAAGUAAAAAACUUAAAGUAACGAAAUGAAAUUCCCAGCUAAAUAGCAAGUCACAUUUUUUAUUUUUCAUUUGAUCCGGCAGACCCAAAGAAAAGGAAAAAACUGUAGAUAAAAAGAAAAUAAAAUAAAAGGGCAGCCAGCCACGACCCAAAAAGAUCUGGGGUCUUGUGUAAAAUUACAAGAAUACCCUUUUCUCUAUUUAUGCCGUGGAGUGGAGCUAUAAAUAUCGGGUACGUAAGCAGAAAUUAGGUAAAUUCCUUGGUUGGCACGAAGGAUUGGUUUUCUCUCAUCGCACAGAUCAGAAUUCGGUGGGUUUUAGGCAAAGUCGGUUUUACAUAACAGAAACUCUGGAUUCCACCUCUUCCCGUCCUUGGCGACGGUGGUUAUGCCGCUUGGCUUUCAGGUUCGUUUCCUUUUCUUCGGAUCUGAUUCCUCACGCCUUUUCAUUAUUUUUUCAAGUUUCGUGUUUUUUUGCAAUUCGAUUUUAUUCGAUUUGUUUGGGCUGAAUUUAUUUUAUUCUCUUUGUUUUGUAUAUCGAUUUCAUUCAAUUUGGUCAGUUGGGAUUUUUUUAGAAUUAGGGUUAGUUCUUCUUCAUGUAUUCGUCUUGAUGUGUUUCUUCGAUUUCGGUUGAAAUUUUGUUUGGUUGCCGAAAAACUGUGGGAAAGGCGUCAGGAUUUGACAAUUUGGGGCUCUGUCUUAUUAAAUUUUCUUCGUCUGGGUUACUAAGGUUUGGUAAAAAAAUUUCUGAUCUGGAAUUGUUUCUCUAGGAUAAUGUAAUUUCUGGGUUUAAUUUGGUCAUUGAUUUGCAUUACUUUUAUUACUCUUUAACUCGAUUUUGGUUAUUGGAGGCUUUUUGUUUAUUUAAUUAUUUUUAUAUCAGCGAUUGAUUGUAAUCUCUUUAAGUCUUUAUUAUAUAAAUUGUUAAUGUUGUAUAAUUUUUGCCUAUUGAUAUUUAAGUGAGGUUAUAGCGUAGUUAAUACUUGGUUUCGUUUGCAUAUGAGUGUAGUGCAACUAAGUGUUGGUUUUGUAUGGAUGUACGUCUGAACUGUAAUCUUCUAAGGCUCAAAGUAUUGUGCAACAAUAUUUGUUUUGUACACUCGAAAAAUUCUGCAGUCAUAUUUAUAAUAUGCCUGCUUCUGGUUUUUAAUGCUGGAAUUUGCAUCAUUAUGUGCCCAUAUUAUGUGAGAUUCAGUUUGAGUGGCCAUUAUAUUCAGUAAUGGAUUCCUUUUAUCAUGUCUGCAUGAUUCAUCUGAUGUGCGGUUACUUGUUGUAAUCUAAAUUUCAGGUUGUGCCGGGCUUGGAUCUAAAGAGCUUUGACAUAUUUCUGAAGACAUGGAGCAGAUGCGCUUCUGGUCAAAUUGUCACCAGUACCGGGUCUUUUCUUUCCAGGAAGUGCUUGACUGGAGAUUUCUUGUCCUUGGAGAUUUUCUUCUGGUUUCCUUUGUUAAUUGCACUUAGUGGUCAGCUUCUCUUAAAUGAUCAAUACGGGAGACGUGAUGCUAGUUACAUCUGAGUCAGGUGUUGGAUCUUUAGUGCAUAGCGCAUUGCUGAUACAACAUCGAGUUGAAAUUUCCGUGAAAACUUCUUCAGGGGUACAGUAUACAUAUCUCACAUAAAAUGUUAUGCAUCUGCUUAUUAUCCAAUGCCUGCUUCAUAUUCCUAAACUUUAUUCUCUUGUUUCUUAUGACAGGGCUAAAGUCUAGCAAUCUGUGACUGAAGAUCUCUACAUAGUUAAUAUUAGAUAAUCAGUUACGUCAACCCAAACCAGUGCAGACUGUUUAUUUCAUAGUUAUUAUUUCAUCGUUGCUCCUGAUGGUUUCUAUGAAACGUGGCAAGAUAUUGGUCAGCUAAAGAUUCCACACUGAUUUCUACUUAGUUUAGAUGAGAUAGCAGUUUUUGUUUAUUGAGCCUUGGGUGACACUAUCUUGAUCUUGGAGUCUUUCUUCUGCGGGAUAAAUCAUUCUGGUUGGUUUUUCAAUUGGUAUCGAUAUGUCCUGUGGUGCUUGCCGUUUUUUGCCAUCUAUGUCAUGCUCUAGUCCGCAAGCUGUGGAGUUAGUAAUGAAUAAGGCUGUGCAGCCCAUCCAUCAUAAGAAUUCUGGUUUUGUGCUUGUGCGUGUUGCCUCAUAAAAUUAAUGGUUUGAUCUUGCUGGACGAGCAAGGCAGUUGUUUAUAUCCUACAGUGUAUUUUAAGGAUCAUCUUCUGAAGAUAAAUUCCCAUUUAUCUUUUACGAGUCUUUAUGCUUUCACUGAAUAAAGAAAGAGCUGCUUUGUGUUCCACAGGAAGAAUGGAGAGGUAAGGUUGUUUACUGUGCGACUUCCUUUAAUGUUUAUUUGUUUAUGUUGACACAAUAUGUAAAUUUGCGGUUACUCUAGGUACAAGUUAAUAAAGGAAGUUGGAGAUGGCACAUUUGGGAGUGUCUGGCGUGCUAUUAAUAAGCAGACUGGUGAAGUUGUAAGUGUGUUUUUCAUUUUCCUAAGAAUUCAGUUUAUGAUAUAUAUUUUUAAAUUUUGUUCUGAUUAUAAUCACUGAAUACAGGUUGCAAUUAAAAAAAUGAAGAAAAGAUAUUAUUCAUGGGAGGAGUGUGUAAGUCUACGAGAGGUUAAGGUAGUUCAACUUACUAUAUCCUCUUUAGAUAUCUUGCUUUACCGUGCAUUUUCAAAUCAUAUCAUGGACUUCUACUUCAUGCAGUCAUUGCGUAGAAUGAAUCAUCUGAAUAUUGUGAAGCUCAAGGAAGUCAUCAGAGAAAGUGACAUCUUGUACUUUGUGUUUGAAUACAUGGUAAGUUAUAUUAACACAAACUUGCAAAUAUUUUGUACGACUUUUGUUGGCGAGCGUUAUUGUUUAUUCUCUAUAUUCUCAUAUGGACAUUGCAGGAGUACAACUUGUACCAACUUAUAAAAGAUAAGGAAAAGCUUUUCCCUGAAGCUGACAUCAGAAAUUGGUGUUUUCAAGUUUUUCAAGGCCUUGCUUACAUGCAUCAGCGUGGAUAUUUCCAUCGCGACCUUAAGCCAGGUAUUUGAUGCAAUUUUGAUGCACGACUUUAGUUGAGUAAUUAAAAGGUUCAAAGAGAAUUUGAAGGGCUUAAGGCAUCUAUGCUAAUGAAAAUUCUUGUAUAUCUUUUUUUUUUUGGGGGAUGGAAACAUGUGUACCUCUUCCAUAUUUUGUUGAAGAAUCAAUCUUAGUUGCUUAUUGUGGGUUUGUGUUUGUUUCUUUUUUAGUCGCAGUUUUCUUUCAUUUCAAAGCAGAUUGAUGUUUGCUAAGGCUGCAAUGAUCAUGUGGAAUCCUUGAUUUAUUAGUGUACAAUUUUCCCUUUGUUAUACUUAUAAUAGUUGUAAUGCCUGCUGCCGUUGUUUUUGGACACCAAUUCUUAAUUAGCUACUUUUCUUCUUUUAUUAUUUGAUAUUUAUUUAUAAUUCCAGUAUAAAACGAGAUUUGAUGUGGCCAUGUUUUCCUACGGUUUUGGAGGUAUACAUUUUAUUUGAAAAUAAUUUUCAAAUUCAAAACUACGAAUGUUAUGUUAGCUUUAGAAUCUACUUGCUAGAUUAAAAAGAAAAAAAAGGGUUUUUGACCACCAAACUGACGUUUUGAAUUGGUGAAACAUUGGAAGGGGCGCUGAUCAAUGUACAUGCUUUAUAUUUUCUUGCCUCUUUUAAGUUUCUCUGUUUUGACAUCUUUCUUCAACAAUUUUUCAUUCACGUAUUGUAGAAAUUUCUGUCCACCAGUGGAAUGCUUUGUUUUGUUUCUUUCUUUUUGGGGGCCUUCUAUGGUUGCUUCGUGCAUGGUGUUGCUAUACUUGUUCAAGUUGUGUUUGUAUUUCCCUUUUGGAUUCUCAAUGAUAAUUGGCAAAAUCAUGUAUUACUUUUGUUUAUUAUGUUCUGUUCUGUGUCUUUAAGUCGUUCAUGUUGUCAUCUGUUGGGUCCGUGUCUUCUUUUGCUACCGAACUCUAACAUACUGCUAUCUAUACCUUCACUCCUUUGUAGAGAACUUGUUGGUUACCAAGGAUGUCAUCAAAAUUGCUGAUUUUGGUCUUGCUCGGGAAAUCGAUUCGCAACCUCCAUAUACGGAAUACGUGUCAACACGGUGGUGAGUGUUUAUUUUCUUAAUUAGUUAGCUCUGCCUGAAUGCAAACUUAUUGAUGUGAGUUACUAACCUCUAGAAUGUGGGCAUGUUAGGUAUCGAGCGCCUGAAGUCCUGCUCCAGUCAUACCUGUAUAGCUCAAAAGUCGGUGAGUGUUUGUGGAAGUUUGAAGUUUUGAUUUUUUUUGUUGGAAAGUUAAUGCGUUAUUGAUGGUUGGUUUCUGAAUGACUUAAUUUUUUCAUUUAUUUAAAUGUCAGAUAUGUGGGCAAUGGGUGCUAUCAUGGCUGAGUUGUUUACUCUCCGCCCUCUAUUUCCAGGUGUUAGGUAUGUAUUCAUUACUCUUUAAACAUCCAGUGAUUUGUUGCCGAAUGGGAAAUAUUGCUAUGAUUGUUGGAUAGCAUUUUGAUAUUAAUUGAUUGUGUAAUUUGUUAGAAGAUAUUUAGUAGUUUAUCUGCUGAUAAUUUAGCAACUGAUAUAUCAGUUGGUUUACUUUUAAUGUUGUUCUUACCCUUGCUUCCCUUCUGACACUGUUUUCAGCGAAGCAGAUGAGAUAUACAAAAUAUGCAGUGUGAUUGGUAGCCCAACCAAGGAUUCAUGGGCUGAUGGGCUUCAUCUUGCAAGGGAAAUCAACUACCAAUUUCCUCAGGUCAGUUUUAUCCUACUUUCUUUCUCGCAUUUUUAGUGUGUUUGUUGAGUUGCGUAGACUUUUACAGCAGUCUCUUGGGGAGUUCUUUGUACAUUCUUAGAUCUAGCAGACAAUGCUGUCAUUUCUGUAUCGUAUUUAUGAAAGAUCUUUGAUAUAAAUGAUUUUGAGGGGCAUGCCUUUUGGGAUUUAAUGUUAUCUGCGUUAUCCAGUAUGAUUAGUGGAUAUUAAGUUGGAUGUUUCUUUUUGCAGUUCGCAGGUGUUCAUCUUUCUACGUUGAUUCCUUCAGCAAGUGAUAGCGCAAUCAGCCUUAUGACAGUAAGUCCAAUUUUGUAUUAAAUGUAGCUGCUUUCCCGUCACUACCUCUAACCUUCCCACUGUGGCACAUAGUUUAAAUUCUUGUUACUUGAUCUGGGGAAUUUUUCAUGUCCUCAGAUCAAACUAGAGAAGCGAUUAAACUUUUAUGUCUUAACUAGUAGUCUACUGAUAUGACACUUACGUUUUCCCUUUCCUUCUGUUGUAGUCACUUUGUUCUUGGGACCCGUCCAAGAGGCCAACAGCUGCAGAGGCCCUCCAGCAUCCUUUCUUCCAGGUAGUUUUUUGGAACAAAGUAUAAUUAGUGAAACAUCCAGUCUUGAAUGGUUAUCUGUAGAUGUUUUGCAUAUUCUAAGGUGUACUUUUCAUGUGGCAGAGUUGCUAUUACGUUCCGCCAUCCCUUCGCUCCAGAUCAACUGUUGCUAGGACACCUCCAUUUGGUUUGUUUAUCUGAUAAUUGUUGAAUUGUGUUUUUAAUUAUUCGUUUUGUUUAGGAUAUUAAUUUAUGUGGAUUGUUACACAGCUGGAGCAAGGGGAGCAUCGGAGCAGCAAUGUGCUAGAAAAUUAUCUGGGACUUUAUCUAAUUCAAAGAUUUCUAGCAACUUUCCUUCCCCAAAGCUGCAUGCUUCUAUGGGCACAGGUCAGUUUGAAUGUUGUUCUGUUGAGUUUUAGUCUUUAUAUUCUGACUUCAAUAUUUUUUUGUUUUUAAAUAUCUGUAGUUUGUGUAAUGUUUUGUAAAAUACUGUAUGAGUUCUCUGCCAGGUGGUUUUUUCUUAGGUUUUCCUUGUUAAUAGCUAAUACUGAUGGUUUGGGAUAACAAUUCCCCUUAAGGAGAGUAUGAAAUAAAAUGAAGGUUUUUUUUUAUAAUCUAUUUAAAAGAUGUAAUUUAAUAAGUGCUCCUAUUACUAAGGAAGCAAUAAUUUUCUAGAUUGAUUCUCAUUAUGUGAUUAAAUAUCGUUGCAGGUGUGCAGCGAAAACUGGAUAUGGUUAAUCAGGUGAGCGUAGACGCGUAUUCUUUCAUCUGUUUUAUUUGAGUGUUUGUGUGCUAUGUGAUGCACAUACCAAGAUUGCUAUUACUGUAACUAAUAAUUUUUUCGACUUUAUCAUUUAAGGAUGCGAAAAAGAAUGAUAAAUAUUUGAAGAGCUCUGCCAAGCAACAGAAAUAUCGACCCCCUGGUAAAAGCAGUCCUAGUAAGUUUCUUGGGUACAACAGGGUUAUGUUUCAGAGAUUUCAAUUGUAUUCCAUGUACUCUGCUGAUGACAUUUAUCAAUCAUAGGGACAAGUGGCGUCCUUUGGUUUUUGGUUACGUAAAUUUAUUAAGCUCGUGGUCUUCCUUUUCUGUUUCAUUUGUGAUUAACUGAGAAAACUAUGUUGGUUGGCAGCGACUGUGAACAAGGGAAGGAUUACACAUGGAGUUUCAGAUACAUCUGAGAAGCUGGCAAACAUGACAAUUGGUUAUCGCAAGCAGACUGUGGGGCAGCAGAUGCGCCCCCCUCCCAUGAAGGCUGGAGUCCAGUGGAUUGGCGAAUCUGGAAACUUGUAUCUCAGGCCUGUUCAAGAGAUUCAACCUGGCAGAACCUAUUCGAGGAAAGUUGCGGGUUGAUUAAAGAGCGACUUCUUUAAGAGGUCGUCAUAUAUAGUCUUUCAUGUGUGUGGUACCAUCACCUGCAGCAGUUGUGGAUUUCUCCGUCUUUCUUAGUUCUGAACCUAUGUACUUGCCCCUGUGGCAUUUGGUUUGCUUAUUGGUGUGUCAAUAUGACCUAAUGGCAUCUUCUGCCUGGUCUAGUAUUAACGUUAUCCUACUGCUUUCUAAACAAUGACCUGGAUUUUCAGAGUAAAUAAAUGAAAGCAAAAGGUUUUAUGUUUGUUUAAAGAAAAUCUGUUUAUUACUUUCCAUUUUACAACGUGGCAUUCUAAGUUCUUGAGGGUCCAAUUCCGGCGGCGCAACCCCCUCUCCUCGCUGUUGGAAAAGCCUCCCCUCUGUUCUCCCUUUUCAAUCGCUCUCUUUCUUCCCCUUGAUUUUGGAUCCAAAUCUGAGUAAACGCUCAAACAAUAACCUAGCUCAUUCUUCAUCUUAUCGAAAAUCAACACCCCUCGAAAUCUGAUCAAAACCCAACAAAAGUUUCAGCACUGAUUAAACCACAAACAAGAACUAUCAGUUUUGAAUGUUGUUUUAUAUGGAUCCACACAAGAUUAAAGCUGCACUUCUGGCUUCUUUGAAAGAGAGAGGAUCAAUAGGCAGAGAAAUCAAGAUAUAUAAGGGGCACAGAGGUAGAAAAAAGCAGAUGGAGGGAGAGAAAAGGAGGCUUUGCCAGCACCGAGAAGGAGAGCGGGUUGUCGCCUACGGGGUGGGGUGGCUGAUGGGACUGGCUGGGUGAAGUAAUUUCAUUUCCCCUCUUGGAUGACCACCUCUCCCUCUAUAAUCACGCAAGUGAUAGGGCUCUCCUAUAUGUAAGUAAAGCUAUUCCUACCCAGCCCAUGUGAUGUUGUGAACUCAUGCCUACCCAAACUUAAAAGCAACCCACAUGUGCUAUAUGGCCCAGUCAAACUUAAGAAAAAAAGGGGGAAGCAAUAUAAGCAAGCAGCCAAUUCCCUUUCGGCUGUGUAAUAGUUGAUAGUCUCAAAUCAUUUUCCUUUGCAGCUUCUUCUUGAGUUUGAACAUUCUCUCUUGGCAGCAUCUUCUCAUAUCUAAGGCCAACAAGUAUUCUUCUUAUUCUCUCCUCUUUAAUUAUCUUCUUCUAUUGGCUUUUUCCUAAAAUAAAUGUAUGCAUCUUAAGUUUUUUAAUAGUUUAAUUUAGUUUUAGAUUUAAAUAGUUUAGUUUUGUGUUGCAUUGCAUUAAUUAGUUAGUUAGUUUUUUUUUUUUUUUGGUUAAGCUUUUAUUUUAUGUAUAGAUAUGCAUAUUUGAGGGUAAAGUUCAUUACAUUCUCCUUGACUAGGUGUAUCUUUUUAUUUUUAUGAAUGAAAUUCACUCAUACCGUCGAGUUUUUAAGGUAAGUUUCGCACACUUGACUUUUGAAUCCUGAAUCUGCCAUUGCCUUUAGGGUACCUUAUGAAUUUUUUUUUUCCAACCAUCCAAACCGUCUAUUUUUCAAGUCUUCAUUCAUAGAUCAUCCUUGCAAAAAAUCAAACAAAUUGAAAAUCAUUAAGGCAUCUAAUUGCAAGCAACAAAAUAGACGAACAUUGUGCUUCAAGAAAAGAUUAAAAUAACUAUAAUCUAAUUGAGUAAUCAAAUAGUUUCGGAUAUAAGUGAUCUUUUGAGAUGAUCUUUGAGGGAAUAUCUAAAGAUUAGACAGUUCAUAUCAUUGAAAAAAAAAAUGUGUGUUGGGCGCUACAAAAGUGUCCCUCAUAUUUGAAGGAUCUCUCAAUUGAAGCUCACUUUUUAAAAAAAAAAAAAACAUAGAAAAGCUAUCCUUUCUAUCUUUUUUUUUUGGUAUGACUAUCCUUUUCUAUCUUUCAAAUCCAUUUUAACAUGGCAUGAAAAUUAUGAGUGAAUUCCACAAGAUGGCUUUCUGCUUUCAACAAUAGCAAUGAUCAUAUUAGAAGACUUGAUCAUUGGCCUAAUCUUGUAUGGAGAUUCACUAUUAUACCUAAUAUAUGAGCCUAAAUUAUAAAAAUACAUUAUAUGAAAUGGACUUUAUAAACAUACCUAAUGCCCAUUUACAAUAUAACAAAAAAACUUUUAACUUCUUUUAAAUUACAAAACUGUUAUUGAUUUAUUAAAAAAACCUCAAUCUUAAAACCUCAUAAAAAAGCCCAAAACACUCAAUAGGGCAUCAAAGUAAUUUAAUAAUCAAAAUUAAAUUCAAUAGGGCAAACUAUUAUUUUUUGGUUUUUUUUUAGUUUUGUUUAUAGAAAUUAAAUGGUGUACGAUUUAUCUAUAUUAUUAAUGCUAAGAAUAAAUAUAUGAUUAAAUAUCUCUUUCACUAAUCCAAGCGAGUCCAAUCUAAUCAUCCCUAUCAAACAUGACCAAAGUCUAUAUAUGAAGUUCAUUAUCAUAAAAAGAAAAGAAAAGAAAAGGUAAUUUGCCCAAAUUAUUACCACCGCCUAGCUAAAGGCAAUCGAAAAAGAAAAUGGAAAUGUUGAAAAAAAGAAAAGAAAAAAAGAAAAUGGAAAUGUUGAAAGAAAAAAAAAGAAAAAAAAAGAAAAUGGAAAUGGAACAAUUCUUGGACUGAACUUAAAGUCUCCAAGUACAGAUAGAUAGAGAGAUACUCUCUACGACCCUCUUUCCCUUCUCAUUUACUCAUUUCCCAACGAAUAUGGCCAAAUCCCUCUUCUCAACCACCUUCUCUCCAAGGUAACCUCCUCUCUCUCUCUCUCUCUCUCUCUCUCUC